Molecule: long non-coding RNA, 47610 nt
Filed under: Triticum aestivum (bread wheat)
Lineage: Eukaryota; Viridiplantae; Streptophyta; Magnoliopsida; Poales; Poaceae
Description: long non-coding RNA (TAES_LNC018817)
Source: RNAcentral
UUUUUUUUUCAAAGUUCGUUCAAGCACUUACUGAAUAUGCCGCGUCGAAGCCGCUGAUUCUCCCUCGUGGAGUCCGAUAGCUGGCCACGAACAUCUUUAAGUUCGAUGUCCAGCCUGGUGUUGGCAUCCUGAAGAUCAUUCUUCUCUCGCCUCACCUUUGUCAACAUACUCUCACCGGCCUUUAGCCGGUGUAAGAGUUGUUGCUUUUCCGGAUCGAGUCCGGCGCCAUCUGCAACAUGAUUUGUCAGAUUUGCACCCACACCGCACAAUACUAAUCUUUCGAAGCGUAUCUUACCUGAGGGGGUCUCUUUGGGCUCCCCUACUGCGGCUAGUGCGGCCUCUAGUUGGGCCUUGCACUUUUCCAGCUCCUGGGAUAGUACAGUAUUCUUAUCUGUAAGAACCUGCUUAUUAAAUGAUCCUUAAAUCAGUUGCUCUAACUGUUUCAAGUCUCGGGGGCUACUGGUAUAUCUAUAUUUGACCAAAAUUUUCUUACCCGUAUGUCUUUUACAUACUGCUCCGUGGCUCUGGCUAAACCAUUUUGAGCGGCACGGAGGUACGCAUCUCCCAAAUUAAAGGCAUCUAAAGCCUCUUGGGAGAAACAAGUGUCGCGUAGAACUGUCCGGCGACGCCUGUGGUUCAUGGCACUCUCCACUUCAGAAUUUGUGGCAGACAGCCUGUCCGCAUCCUCUGUCGGAGGAGCGUCCGGUGCGCGCCUUGUGCUCGCCUCCGCUUCCUGGCCAGACGUUGGAGCCUGGCUGGUGGGGGCGCGAUUGGCAACCUCCCCGGAUGUAGUCCGGCGAGGUCUCUUCGUUUUGAAGAUAGCAGGAACGUUAAUAUGCCCUGACAGAAUAACACCAGGGAAACAGAGGGUGCACUAUACCUUUGCGUCGGCAUCUCAGUCCGGACUGCAUUCCUUUUUGCCCCACGGGGUCCUGCGGCCCCUCGUUGGCUAGCCGCCGCAGGUUCGGCCUCCUGCCUCGGAAAUCUCCCCUGCAAAACACGGUUGUCGUCAGAAACACCGGAAUACGUGAGAGUGGAAUCUCUCUCAAGGGAAUGAGACUCCGGUUUCUAUCACCUGGGAGGCCGGGAUUAACCUUGGGUAAUCAGCCGUGAUGGCUACCAAGGUAUUGUCCUUGCUUAGCUGAUGGAACACCCCGUCGAUAAGCUCCACCGAUAUGUCCGGGUCCUCUUCGGAGUCCGGAUCGAGGGACCGUUCUGGGUCCUCGGGCUGUGGAGGGCGGCUGUUUAUAUCCUUUACCUCCUGUCGCAGUUCCUGCACUGAAGUCGUUAGACUACAUAUCUAACCGUGGGAGUAUAAAACAGACGGGCAAGCGCAAUUAUUCACUUACCCAACUUGGAGGAUCGUACAUAGUAAAUCCGGCCUGCAGAUUGACGCGGAGGAAUUCCUCCUUUUCUCCCUUGUACAAAGAGGAUAAGAUCUUUACUAGGGCGGCAGCUGAGGCCGGCCCCUUACGACCGUAACGGGUGGCGUCAUCCUCCCCGUUGAAAUCCCGCAUGGGGUGGCCUCUAUAUUGAAGCGGCUGCACCCCUCGCAUAAUGCAUGCGGCCAUGACUCCAAUCAUGGUUAGUCCGGAAUGAGCCAACAGUCUUAUCCGGCCCAUCAGGUAAAGGACGUCUCUAUCGCAUUCUUUCUGAGAGCUCCAUGGACGCCAGCUCAAGCGUUUCUUCAAUGGGGCACUGUUGAACUCAGGGAGACUGACCCAGAUAGGGUCCGGUAGCGGGACGUCAUCUAUGUAAAACCAUUCCGAAGGCCAGUCCUCGGACGCCUUCUUUGGGGUUCCGGAUAGGUAUCCGGUCCCGGCGAUGCGCCAUACUUCGGCUCCGCCCACUUGGUAUAUAGACCCCUCUCGAGAACGGGGCACCAGGUAGAAUAACCUCUUCCACAGCACAAAAUGAGCCUCAACGCCUAAAAAUAGCUCGCAAAGGGCGACGAAACCCGCAAUAUGUAAUACGGAGGCGGGCGUGAGAUUGUGCAGCUGGAGGCCGUAGAACUCCAGAAGCCCGCGGAGAAAUGGAUGAAUUGGAAAUCCCAGUCCCCUUAUUAGAUAGGGGACGAGGCACACCCGCUCUCCUUUAGAAGGAUUGGGGGUGCUCUCCGCUUGUUUUCCGCCAUUGUAGGUGGUGAGACCGGCUCGGACCGGGACCAUGUAUGCCUGAGGGAGAAAUCCCUAGGCCUGAAGCGACACAACUCGCUGUGCGGGAUGGUGCAACUCUCCCAGUCCCCGGGUUUGGGACCGGACGGGCGAGGGGAGGAGCUGCGACGGCUGGUCAUGUUGGAAUGGACCUUUGCUGGAAGCGCUCUGAUGAUGACUCGCGGAAAGGAGAAGAUGUGGUUUGGACCUAAAUCCCCAUCCCGUUAAAUAAGCGGCUCGUUUAUACGGCUAGGGGUGUGGAUGUAAAAACACCCCGGCUUUUCGCAUUCGUUUGACACGUGGAAGACGGCCAUUAUUGGGCGUGCAAGCCGAGGAGCACUACAUUACAAAAAUCGGACAUUAUUCCUACAGGUACACAAGAUUUGGAGAAGAACCCGCCUUGCAAUGCCGAACAAUCUGCGCGCCGGACUCGUCAUCAUUGAAGCCUAGUUCGGGGGCUACUGAGGGAGUCCUGGAUUAGGGGGUGUUCGGGUAGCCGGACUAUACCUUCAGCCGGACUCCUGGACUAUGAAGAUACAAGAUUGAAGACUUCGUCCCGUGUCCGGAUGGGACUUUCCUUGGCGUGGAAGGCAAGCUUGGCGAUGCGGAUACUCAAGAUCUCCUACCAUUGUAACCGACUCUAUGUAACCCUAACCCUAUCCGGUGUCUAUAUAAACUGGAGGGUUGUAGUCCAUAGGCAAUCAACUCCAUAUACAACAAUCAUACCAUAGGCUAGCUUCUAGGGUUUAGCCUCCUUGAUCUUGUGGUAGAUCUACUCUUGUACUACCCAUAUCAUCAAUAUUAAUCAAGCAGGACAUAGGGUUUUACCUCCAUCAAGAGGGCUCGAACCUGGGUAAAACAUCAUGUUCCCUGCCUCCUGUUACCAUCCAGCCUAGACGCACAGUUCGGGACCCCCUACCCGAGAUCCGCCGGUUUUGACACCGACAGGGAGCAUCAUGGAAUUGGUGAUGGAGAAGGGUUGGUGAUGACGAAGAUCCCCCUCUCUGGAGCCGCAAACGGACUCCAGAUCUGGCCUCCCAAUGAAGAACAUGAGGUGGCGGUGGCUCCGUCUCGUGAAACAUGAUAAUUCUUUCUCCCUAAUUUUUCUCUCCAAAUAUGUGAAUUUAUAGUAUCAAGGUUGAAGUCUACGGGGCCACCAGGUGGGGACAACCCACCUGGGCGCGCCUGGAGGUGGGCACCCUGGUGGGUUCUGCCCACCCAGGUGCCCCCUCCGCUAAUUCUUGGCUCCAGAAAUUCUUAUUUAUUGAAUAAAAAAUCCUCGCAAAGUUUCAUUCCAAUUCGAGAACUUUUAUUUCUGCACAAAAACAACACCAUGGUAGUUUUGCUAAAAACAGCGUCAGUUCGGGUUAGUUUCAUUCAAAUCAUGCAAAUUAGAGUCCAAAACAAGAGGAAAAGCGUUAGGAAAAGUAGAUACAAUAGAGACGUGUCAACAGUCAAAUUCGGCAUAAUGUUCAUGCUUAUGUGGAUGAUAUUGUGGUCAAAUCUAGGAAGAAGGAGACUCUCCUGGAUGAUCUGAAAGAAACUUUUGAUAAUCUCCGGUUCUACAAGAUGAUGCUUAACCCAUCCAUGUGUGUCUUUGGUGUGCCUGCAGGCAAACUGUUGGGGUUUAUGGUGUCACAAAGGGGCAUUGAAUCUAACCAGGAGAAGAUCAAAGCUAUCACCUCCUUUGCUGAGCCGACAUGUGUCAAUGAUGUCCGGCGUCUGGCGGGUCGUAGUGCAGCUUUGAGCCGUUUUAUAAGUCGCCUAGGAGAGAAGGAAAUUCCUUUGUAUCAGAUGAUGAAGAAGAUGGAUCACUUCGUCUGGAGUAAUGCUGCUAAUGAGGCAUUUGAGGCGCUCAAGAAACAGCUAGUUGAGCUGCCCGUCCUUGUUGCUCCGGUUGAGGAAGAGCCUUUGCUCCUAUCUGUGGCGGCUAAUAGCAAGGCUUUCAGUGUGGCUAUAGUUGUGGAAUGCAAAGAGGCGGGUAAGCAAUUUCCUGUUCAACAGCCAGUUUAUUAUGUUAGUUAGGUGUUGAUUGAGUCCAAGCAACAAUAUCCCCAUUGGCAGAAAUUGGUGUAUGGGGUGUUCAUGGAAAGCCGCAAGUUGAAGCAAUAUUUUCUUGUUCAUCCUAUCACUGUGGUCAGUUCUGCUCCCUUAGGGGAUAUUAUCCAGAACAAAGAGGCUACCGCACGGGUUGCUAAAUGGGCAAUUGAACUUGGGCCUGAUAGUUUGAAAUAUGUGCCAAGAACAGCCAUUAAAUCUCAGGCUUUAGUGGAUUUCAAAAAUGACUGGACAAACUUACAGAUGCGUGAGGAGAAGCCCGACAACACCUAUUGGACAAUCCACUUUGAUGGGUCUAAGCAGUUGGAGGGCUCGGGGCUGGAGUUAUUUUAACUUCCCCACGAGGUGAUAAGUUUUGCUAUGUUUUGAGGUUAAUGUUUCCUUGUACUAACAAUGCAGCUGAAUAUGAGGCUUUACUCCAUGGCCUUCGUAUGGCCAAAGGAUGAUUUAAGCCGGAUUAGGUGCUUUGGCGAUUCAGACCUGGUGGCUCAGCAAGUCUCAGGCACUUGGGACUCUAAAGACCCGCUCAUGGCGGCUUAUCACCAAGCGGUUGAUAAUAUUGUUGGUCAUUUUAAAGGUUAUCAGGUGGAUCACCUUGAUCGAAGGAAGAACGAGGCGGCUGAUGCCUUAAGCCUCCUUGGUUCUCAAUGUAAGUCGGUGCCUCCUAAUGUGUUCCUAGAUGUGCUCCACAAUCCUUCUGUCAAGUUGCCAUCUGAAGGAGACCUUGUUAUUCCUGACCCGGAGGCACAGCUCGUGGCGGCUCUUCAUGUUAUUCCUGAUUGGACUUUGCCUUAUAUGGCUUAUAUGACCCGGGGCGAGUUACAUGAGGGUGAAAUUCUGGAAAGACAAAUGACCCGCCGGUCUAAGUCUAUGACCAUUGUCAAUGGCGAGUUACACCGAUGCAGUGUGACAGGCGUGUUUCAACGUUGUGUUUCUCCUGGGGAGGGCCGUGAGAUCUUACAAGAAAUUCAUGAAGGUGGUUGUGGUCAUCAUGUCGGCUCUAAAUCCUUGGUGGCUAAGGUGUUUCGUCAUGGAUUUUAUUGGUUGACAACUCAUGCUGAUUCACAGGACAUUGUCAGUAAGUGUGAUGGGUGUCAGAAAUUUGCAAGGCAGGCUCAUGUGCUAGAUCAAGAAUUGAGGAUGAUUCCAAUAACUUGGUCAUUUGCAGUCUGGGGUCUUGAUAUGGUUGGACCAUUCAAGAUAUCUACAGAUAAGAAGACCCACCUUUUGCUGGCGGUUGACAAGUUUACCAAGUGGGUUGAGGCAGAGCCGGUUAGCAAGUUUGAUGCAGCGACUGCGGUUUAGUUUGUUAAAAAAUUGAUCUUCCAUUUUGGUUACCCCCAUAGUAUCAUCAUUGAUAAUGGCACUAAUCUGUCUAAGGGUGCUAUGAAGGAGUUCUAUGAAAAAGAGCAUAUUCGGCUUGAUGUUUCUUCUGUGGCUCAUCCCCAGUCUAAUGGUCAGGCAUAAAGGGCUAACCAGGAAAUUUUGAAAGGCAUUAAGCCCUGGCUUAUGGUUCCUUUGGAACGAACGCCGAGUUGUUGGAUUGAGGAGUUACCUUUAGUGCUUUGGAGUAUCGAUACCACCCCCAACAGGUCAACAAGCUAUAUGCCUUUCUUCAUGGUUUAUGGUGCAGAGGCAGUUCUUCCAAGUGUUAUCCGUCAUGACUCACCUCAUGUGGCGGCUUACAUUGAAGUUGAUAAUGAGAUAGCACGUCAAAACACACUCGAUGCUUUGGAUGAGGAGUGUGACCUUGCGGCGGCUCAUUCAGCGAUAUAUCAACAAGAUCUACGUCGCUAUCAUAGUCGCAGAGUCAAGACAUGGGCAUUUCAAGAAGGCGAUUUAGUGCUCCGGUUGAUUCAAGACUAGACAAAUAUGCAUAAGUUGUCUCCACCUUGGGAAGGACCUUUUGUGAUUAGUAAGAACCUCAACAAUGGCUCGUAUUAUCUCAUUGAUAUACGUGAGAACAAGAAGUCACGCACCUCUGAGAAGGAGACCAACUUGAGCCACCGGCUCUCCCCAUUGUACAUACUUCUGGCGAUGUAUGUAUAUUUUAUGAUCAAUAUAAUAAAGCCGGCAUCCCUGAAAUAUUUAGGGCCUCUGUCGUUUCAUUUCUGUGUAUCUGAGUCUUUAUUAACUGAGUCACUUGAGGGCUUCCAACCAACUGAGGUUUAGAUUUCAUACCCUCUUGACCGGCGUGAGUUGCCAUAUUAUGAGUUAUACCUGCAUGUUUGCAACUUGCUACUCCGCCAGGUGACCCGUCGAACUCUUAACAGUCAAUCUUUUUUAAGACCCUAGACUUGUUAAGGUUAAAAUGGCGGCUUGUUUCAUGUGAGAGCCGGCUUACAGUGAGCAAGGAUAAACUCAACAGCUGCGCGGCCUUGAAAGCACAUGGCCAGUGAGCCAACUUGUUUGGUCAUGUUCUGGUAAACCGGCCAAACAAUUAUUUGAGAUUUUUUGUAUUUUCUCUUUUGAUUUCUUUGGAUUUGUUUCACCUAAGAUUUUGUUGUUGUGCAAAUUUUGACUAUAUGGGUCGUGAGGCUUCCAUUAGAUGGCUCAUGUUUGAGUAUUUUUGGGUUAUAACCCGCCCUGGCUUUGGACUUCAAGUCGCCAGCAUAUUUUGGUUUAAACAGUUGACGUCAUGAGGUUGUAAGUCUUGGGUUGUCACCCGCACUUGUUGUUCAUGUUUAAGCCACCAGCAUGUUUCGACUCUAUAGGGCAUGUAAAACUUCAAAUGAAAAGUGCUGGUAUGGCUCAUAUGUAUGAUCACAUUAGGUUUAUCAUAAAGAUUAAACUGGUGGGUCAAACAUCAAAGAUCAAGAUGCAUGAAGGCAUGUCAUGGCAUAUCAUUGUUUUAACUACCCUAUUACAAGGAUGUGUUCAUCCCAAAAAGGUUUAAAUCAAGUGUUUCGCGAGCUGCACUCCCCUAACCUGGCCUGAGAGCCGCCUGGAUCAUCAUUGUUAUGAUCAAUUCUCUUCCUGUCGCCUUGAAGAUUGCGGGUCCUCCUGUGCCGACUCUUCCUCGUCGAUCAUCUGAAGAUCAGCCUUGUCCACUCAAUGUCAUUUAAAGCGUCGAAUGUGGCUUUAUCGUUAAGUAUAAUUGAAUGGUCAACGUCAGGGGCGAAGAUAUGCUUACACCGAGGAGGAAUGAUAUUGACAACAUCAUGAGCCGGCGGCUUAAUCUUUUGAUUGUUUUCGUCAUAAGCCGGUGUGUACUUGCUUAAGUUUAGCUCUGCAACAAGAUUGCAAGCCACGGGCCGCAUCUCUCACACGCAUUGAUUGAAGUCUUUCUCUUCCAAUGGUGACUGGUCAUCUUUGAACUCCGGGCACCCAGGCUAUUUCCUCCAUGUCAAGCUCAGAUUGCCAUGCUUUGGCCCGACCAAGAGCAACGAUGGCUCCGACUGGGCGGUUGAUAAUUUUUGUUCUGCAAUCUGGCCUGGGAACAUUUACAAAUGAUCCAGAACAAUCUUGAUUUGACUCGGUGGUUUUCUGUUCCCUCCUAAGUCCAUAAGACUACGGAGGGUGCCAGAGUAUACUUGUUCUAUUAAAGAAUAAACCACCUUCAACUUCAAUAUCAUAUUCUGACCAAGAUUUGCAAUCCUGGGGCCUGUUAAGAAGUCAAUUAAGAGUCGCCAGACGAGCUAAGCAAUGCACAUAUGUGAUAUACUAGGCAAGUUACAGAAUUUGAAUUGCACUUUAUACUUACUGAAGAUGGCGGCUGCCAUAUGAGUCAUGUGUUGCUUUAAGCCGGAUAACUCUUCGGUUACCAGUUAAGUGUAGCUUCCGCAUCUUCGGCCCUUUUUGCUAGAGCAACCUUUUCAGUCUCCCAGGUGCCUCUCUCAGUAACAAAACUUGUUUUAAGUUUUUCAAUCUCUUCUAAUGAGGCCUUUAGAUCUAACUUGGCCUGGGAAGUUUCAGUCUGCUAUAGCUUUAAGCUUUUUCUUAAAUCGCCAACUUGCAAUUCCUUCAUGUUCAAUUCUGUCUGAAAUAAAUAAAGCAAUGGUUACAAUACAAGGAGCAAGUCUGGUAAGGCAUGGUUAGUCAAGUCCCAAGCACAUUGCAAGCAAUACACUUGGCACUUGGGGGCUAAUGUAGGUCGCUUAAAAAAAUUUGCGACCCAGCUCAUCUUAUUAAGUUAAAGUGGCCCUUGGGGGCUACAUAUUUGGAUUUCUGAAGAGACUAUAAGUCCCGGCUCAUCUUAUUAAGUUAAGCCAGCCCUUUGGGGCUACAUAUUUGGAUUUCUGAAGUGACGGUAAGUCCCGGCUCAUCUUAUUAAGUUAAGCCGGCCCUUGGGGGCUACAUAUUUGGAUCUUAGAGCUAAUUAUCAGUAUGGCUCAUCUUGUUACUAUGAAGUAAUGGUUGAAAAACUAUACAAGAUUGAUAUUUGAAGAUCCGGCUCAUCUUGAGAGCCGCCGCUAUGGGUCAGGCGUCUUGGCUCAUGUUGUUGUUUCUUCAAAAGAAAGCUGGGGUCCAAGUGAGCAGGAGGAUGAGAAAAUUUCACCUUCCGGACGACCCACCGAGUUAUCUUUCUUGGUAAAGGUUCUGAGUCGGAGGAGACAGGGAUUACCUCUGCAGCAUCGGCUUGGCUUGUCUCAGUGUCAUCCUGAGAAGAGGCGGCGUCAAUAAGUUGCAUAAAAAGGCGACCAAGGUAGUUAAGUUCUACCUCUGAGUCAACUAGCUUGAGAAGAUAUUCCGCUGCUAAAUUUUUAUGGUGGCCCGGACCACGGGCGUUGGUCUUAAGCUUUUGGACUAGGGGGCGGCUUGAAGUUUCUUUCUCCAGAAUGGAGAGUCGGCCUGUAUUCAAAUGAGCAAUAGAAAACUGAAAUAAGGUGAAAGUUAUAAAUAUUGAUGAAAACAUGACGAAAGUUUAUCGAAGACACUUACAGGUGGAGCCGCAUUGAGCACGCAGAAAGGGUUCACUCCUACUUUGCGGCAAUUUUCCAAAGUCUCUCCAAGUAAUGAUUUAACCAGAGCGGUGGCUUCCUCAUUAGUCAAGGGUGUCUGGUUGUCGCAUUGAGGGUCCUUUGUGUCACCUGUAUACUCACGCAUUAAGCCGCUACGCCGGCUUAAUGGCAAAAUUCUCCACGAGAUCCAACAACGGACCAGGUCGACUCCAGACAAGCCGUUGGCUACCACGGCUCUUAUCUUUGGAAAGAUGGUUGAAUACUUAGCCCGUUCUGCAGCCGAGAUACGAUCUGGAAGCGUGUGGGUGGGGCUAAGCCGGAAAGGGUGAAAACCUGAUAGGGGAUUCUCACUAGCCGGAGAUGUGUCUUAACAAUAGAACCACGUGCAAUUCCAAUCUUUGGGGUAACUAGGCAAUACAGCUGCCGGAAAAAUAAUAUCUUGUCGCCUCUGAAUGGAAAUUCCACCAAGGUCGAGACUAGGCUCAUCGGUCAUCUUCAAAUAGAAAUACUCUCUUAAUAAAUCAACCUCAGGCUCUUGUUGAAGGUACACUUCGCAGAAGACUUGAAAAUUGCAUAUAUUGGAAACAGAGUUGGGACCAAUGUUUGAGGGUGAAUAUUGUAAAAAUGGAGAACAUCCUAGAAGAAUUUUGACCCAGGUGGCGAGAAGCCGCCGAGGAGGUGAUCCGCAAAGAUGAUGACUUCACCUUCUUUAGGUUGAGGUCUAGUUUCAACGCGUGGAACUUGCCAAUGGAUGGUAUCCUUCGUUGGUAAGACUCCCAUAUCAACAUACUCUUGGAGAGAAAGUUUAGAAACUUUAGAAGCGACCCAAUCGCAAGAAGUGGGAGUCUUGGUCAUGAUUGGUGGUUUAAAAAGCUAUGGACAGGGAGCAAAAAUAUGGCGGGUUAAAAUUACGGUGGCCAAAGAAGGUUGGUGGGUUACAAGAUUGCGAAUUUAUUAUUAAGGCGCCCAAACAUUGAAGGGCGGGUGAAACAACUACUGAUUUCAUUCUUCUCAGAAUUUCACCAAGUGUUGGGCAAACAAGUUUCACAGAUUAUGCCUAUAAUUUUGGAUCUACGGCAGUUCAAAAAAUAAAGAGUAAUUGCUAAACCUAAAGCAUGGUUGUGAAAGAACUAGUAAGUUGGGGAUUGAAUAUUAGGAGGAAAUAAUGAAUCUACGAUUUGAGACAAACGUCGGAAGUACUACCGCACGGCUUCAGUAUUUGGAUUGCGCAAAGUGACAGAUGCAUGAACUGCGAUGGAAUUGGACAAACAUGAUGAACUAGGGUGACCUAAUGCAGAUUGGAAGUGAGAAAAGAUGAAUACCUGGAGGUGCCAUAUGAGUAGCGGGUAGGCACCGUGAUCACUGGUCACAAUCAGGUUGAUGCAGCGGCCUGGAUGGAGCUGCUCGUGAAGGUCGACUGGGGCGGCGGAGCUUCGACAGCGACGGUCGACGCGAGGAAGAAGAAGAAGAAGAAGAAGAGAGAAGGGCGGGGGUAAAAGUGAAAAGUGGGGCCCUCUAUCCCUAUUUAUAAGGAAACAAUAAAAUGGCAUGAACGGAAAUCAAGGAGGCAACAUGAUUAUCUCCAUAGUGCAGGUGCCUUGAUUCUCGGAUGGCUCGUUAAUGCGAAAGAUCCAUUGUGAUGUCAUGGUUUUUUAUGGAUUUACUUCACAUGACGUCAUGGCGAGUUACAGUGGUUUGUUCAAGUUUACUUCGCAUGACGUCAUGGCGGGUUACUAUGGUUUAUUCAAGGUUAAACUUUGGAAGGACGACUCGCCAACUAAAGCAGUGAAGAUUGACAUGAACAAGUUCAAAUUAAUCUGGGGCCUAAUGUUGGGGAUACCUCCCCGAGGUGUGACCCGCCCAGGAGGGGCCGGGUUACACCAUUGGCGACUCAGUAUGAAGAAGGCCCAAGCAUGUCUAAGAAGAUGAAACAUGAAGACUGGUGGCGGCUUGCAAGGUGGGCAUGUUGAAGGCCCAAGAUCCGGUGGAAGAGUCAUGACCCAGAGGGUGUGAGCCGCCACGAUGGUGACUUGCCUAACAAGGCAGGAAUAUUUAGAAACCGAGUUGGUCAUGUUGUGUGAUCCGACUUGGACUCUUGUAAGCCUUGGGCCUCGACCUGUGUAUAUAAAGGUGAGACCCAGCGGUGGGUUAAUGUAACACCCUCGAUGCGGCUAUAUCUCCCAUGUGUCGGAGCACGACUUAGAGGCAUAACCGCAUUGAAGGCAAUGUCGCAAGAGGGGUAAUCUUUACACAUCCCAUGUACUGAAUAAGAAAGAGGUACAGAGUUGGCUUACAAUCGCCACUUCACACAAUACAUGAAUAAAGCAUUACAUCAUCCAGAUACAACCAAGGUCCGACUACGGAACCAAAAUAAAAGAAGACUACCCCUAAUGCUACAGAUCCCCGAUCGCCCCAACUGGGCUCCACUACUGAUCAACUAAAACGAAACAACACAACGGACACGAUCUUCAUCAAGCUCCUCCUUGAGCUUGGUUGCGUCACCUGCACGGUUCAACGGCACCUGCAAGCUGGUUUUGGAAGUAAUCUGUGAGUCAAGGGGACUCAGCAAUCUCACACCCUCGCGAUCAAGACUAUUUAAGCUUAUGGGUAGGGAAAAGGUAUGAAGUGGAGCUACAGCAAGCAUUAGCUUAUAUGGUGGAUAACUUACGCAAAUGAGAGCGAGAAGAGAAGGCAAAGCACGGUCGAGAAUCUAAGAUCAAGAAGUGAUCCUGAAACUACUUACGUUCAAGCAUAACUCCAACACCGUGUUCACUUCCCGGACACCGCCGAGAAGAGACCAUCACGGCUACACACGCGGUUGAUGCAUUUUAAUUAAGAUAAGUUUAAGGUUUUCUACAACCGGACAUUAACAAAUUCCCAUCUGCCCAUAACCGCGGGCACGACAUUCGAAAGUUCAAAUCCCUGCAGGGGGUGUCCCAACUUAGCCCAUCACAAGCUCUCACGGUCAACGAAGGAUAUUCCUUCUCCCGGGAAGACCCGAUCAGACUCGGAAUCCCGGUUACAAGACAUUUCGACGAUGGUAAAACAAGACCAGCAAAGCCACCCGAAUGUGCCGACAAAUCCCGAUAGGAGCUACACAUAUCUCGUUCUCAGGGCACACCAGAUUGUCCAAGGUUCCGGCAGGCCAGCCCAGAGUUGCCCCUGGUGGCCACCGGCAGCUGACAGGUUGGACCAACACUCACAGGAGCACUGGCCCGGGGGUUUAAAUAUAGAUGACCCUUGAGUCUGCAGAACCCAAGGGAAAGAAAAGGCUAGGUGGCAAAUGGUAAAACCAAUGUUGGGCCUUGCUGGAGGAGUUUUAUUCAAGGUGAACUGUCAAGGGGUUCCCAUUAUAACCCGCCCGUGUAAGGAAUGCAAAAUCAAGGAACAUAACACCGGUAUGACGGAAACUAGGGCGGCAAGAGUGGAACAAAACACCAGGCAUAAGGCCGAGCCUUCCACCCUUUACCAAGUAUAUAGAUGCAUUAAUUAAAUAAGAGGUAUUGUGAUAUCCCAACAAAUAUCCAUGUUCCAACAAGGAACAAACUCCAAUCUUCACCUGCAACUAGCAACACUAUAAGAGGGGCUGAGCAAAGCGGUAACAUAGCCAAACAAUGGUUUGCUAGGACAAGGUGGUUUAGAGGCUUGACAUGGCAAUAUGGGAGGCAUGAUAUAGCAAGUGGUAGGUAUCGCAGCAAAAGCAUAGCAAAAGAGCGAGCAACUAGCAAGCAAAGAUAGAAGUGAUUUCGAGGGUAUGGUCAUCUUGCCUUAGAUCCCGCAAGGAAGAAGAACGAGUCCAUGAAGGAGACAAACGGGCGUAGUCGAACGGAUCCUCACAAACGCAACGUUAUCGGAACUAACCCGAAGAAGCACACCGGGAAGAAGCAAACAACAUAGUAAACAACCAUCACAUAAUCAUGGCAUGAUGCACAAGAAGUAUGAUGCAUGUCCGAUUUAAUGAGGCAUGGCAUGGCAAAGUGCACAGGCAUGGCAUGGCAAAGUGCACAAGCAAUUCUGAAAAUUUUAGAAAAUGUAGGAAAUUUGUAUAUCAAUCAUAUGUAAAAAAUGCACAAUUUUAUCACGUUCCAGUGAAUUUAAAUAGUUCUGUUACUGGGCGAAAAUGUUUCUGUUUUUGCACAUAAUCAAGUCAACUAUCAUCCACACUAUCCCAAAGGCUUUACUUGGCACUUUAUUGAAACAAAAGCUAUAAAAUGUGAUUACUAAAGUAGCUUAAUUAUGUGAACACAAAAAAAUAGUAGGUAUAAAUGUUGGAUUGUCUCCCAACAAGCAUUUUUCUUUAAUGUCUUUUUAGCUAGGCAUGUGUAUUUCAAUGAUGCUCAUAUAAAAGUAAAGAAUUGAAACAUAAUGGGAACAUCAUGAAGCAUAUGGCUAGCACAUUUAAGUAUAACCCACUUCCUAUGCAUAGGGAUUUUGUGAGAAAACAAUUUAUGUGAGCAAGAAUCAACUAGCAUAGCAAGGCAAAACAAGUAUAACUUCAAAACUUUCAACAUAAAGAGAGGAGACUUGAUAUUAUUGAGAUAUGUAAAGCGUAAGUUUCUCUCUCAUAAUAAUUUUCAAUAGCAUCAUGAAUGAAUUCAACAAUAUAACUAUCACAUAAAGCAUUCUUUUCAUGAUCCACAAGCAUAGAAACUUUACUGCUCUCCACAUAAGAAAAUUUAUUCUCAUUCAUAAUAGUAGUGGAGCAAACUCAUUGCAAUAACUAUCAUAUGCACUUGAUUCACAUAAUCAAUUUGAGCAUGACAAGUUUCAUGGAUAUCAUUAUUCUUUACAUCAUAAGUUUCAUCACAAUAAUCAUCAUAGAUAGCAACUUCGUUGUAAUAAUCAAUUGAAAACUCUUCCAAAAUAGUGGAUUCACCAUUAAAUAAAGUCAUGACCUCUCUAAAUCCGCUUUCAUCAAUAUAAUCAUCAUAAGUAGGAGGCAUGCUUUCAUCAUAAUAAAUUUUCUCCUCAAAACUUGGGAGACUAAAUAUAUCAUCUUAAUCAAACAUAGAAUCCUCAAGCUUAUGGCUUUGCAUAUCACUAGCAUCAUGGAUAUUCAAAGAAUUCAUACUAGCAGCAAUGCAAUCAUGUUCAUCAUUCAAAGAUUUGAUGCCAAACAUUUUAUUGAAUUCUUCUUCUAUCAAUUGAGCACAAUUUUCCUUUCCAUCAUUUUCACGAAAGAUAUUAUAAAGAUGAAUAAUAUGUGGCAACCUCAAUUCCAUUUUUGGUAGUUUUCUUUUAUAAACCAAACUAGUGAUAAACAAGAAACUAAAAGAUCCGAUUGCAAGAUCUAAAGAUAUACCUUCAAGCACUCACCUCCCAGGCAACGACGCCAGAAAAGAGCUUGAAGUCUACUACGCAACUUUAUUCUUGUAGACUCGUGUUGGGCCUCCAAGCGCAUAGUUUUGUAGGAUAGUAGCAUUUUUUUCUCAAGUGGAUGACCUAAGGUUUAUCAAUCCAUGGGAGGCGUAGGAUGAAGAUGUCUCUGUCAAACAACCUUGCAAUCAAAUACAAGAAAUCUCUUGUGUCCCCAACACACCAAAUACAAUGGUAAAUUGUAUAGGUGCACUAGUUCGGCGAAGAGAUGGUGAAACAAGUGUAGUAUGGAUAGUAGAUAUAGGUCUUUGUAAUCUGAACAUAUAAAAACAGCAAGGUAGCAAGUGACAAAAUGGAGCACAGCGGGUAUUUUGAUGCUUAGAAACAAGGCCUAGGGUUCAUACUUUCACUAGUGCAAUCUCUCAACAAUUCUAACAUAAUCAUAUGGCAAUCCCUCAACGUGCGAUAAAGAGUCACUCCAAAGUUCUUAUGUAGCGGAGAACAUAAGAUGAAAUUGUUUGUAGGGUACGAAACCACCUCAAAGUUAUCCUUUCCGAUCAAUCUAUUGAGCUAUUCCUAUAAGUGUCACGAAGAACCCUAGAGUUCAUACUAAAAUAGCACCACAUGAUACGCAUCAACCAACUUUAAUGUCACCUAGAUACUCCAAUGUCACCACAAGUGUCCAUGAGUCAAUUAUACAAUACGCAUCAAACAACUUUUGAUUCAUAAUAUUCAAUCCAACACAAAGAACUUCAAAGAGUGCCCCAGGAUUUCUACCGGAGAAAGUAGGACGAAAACAUGCAUCAACCCCUAUGCAUAGAUUACACCAAUGUCACCUCUGGAAUCCACGAGUUGAGUGCCAAAACAUACAUCAAGUGAAUCAAUAAAACACCCCAUUGUCACCAUAGCUAUCCAUAUGCAAGACAUACAACAAGUGUUCUCAAAUUCAUAAAAGUAUUCAAUGCGAUAAUAGUGAAACCCCAAAGGUAAAAACUCAAUUCAUCACAACAAGAUAUAGAGGAGAAAACACCAUAUGAUCCAACUAUAUGAACAAAGCUCACGGUACAUCAAGAUCGUGUUAAAUCAAGAACAAGAGAGAGAGAGAGAGAGAUCAAACACAUAGCUACUUGUACAUACCCCUAGCCUUGAGGGUGAACUACUCCCUCCUCAUCAUGGUGGCCGCCGGGAUGAUGAAGAUGGCCUCCGGUGAUGAUUUCCCCUCCGGCAGUGGUAUUUCGGAGGUAAAGAGGCGUGUGGCGGUGGAGUCCAAGUUCUAGGGUUAUUUCUGGUGGUUUCUCUAUUUAUAGGAUGUUUUGGCAUCAGUCUCACGCUAAGAUGGGCCACAGGGUGCCACUACCCACCAGCCCACGGCUAAGACCCCUAGCGCGCCCUGGUGGGUAGUGGCCACCUCCUUCACCUUCUAGUCCUCCCAUGAAGCUUCUAGUGCCUCUUUUGUUCCAAAAAAUCGUCAAAAAGUUUCGCUACAUUUGGAGAACUUUUAUUUCUACACAAAAAACAACACCACGGUAGUUCUGCUAAAAACAGCGUCAGUCCGGGUUAGUUCCAUUCAAAUCAUACAAAAACCAUAUAAAAUUGUUGUAAACAUGGCAUGAAUACUUCAUAAAUUAUAGAUACGUUGGAGACAUAUCACCUGGCAAGGCGACCCUCGAUGCUAUAAAUAGUGGAAAACGAGGCCGCCCCAGGGGUAGAUCUUUUGGCGUCAGAAGGGAGACAAGUCGAUGUUUCCACCUUGUAACACACACAUUGUAGCUCCAUAUCAUUACAAUACAAUACAAAGCAGGAGUAGGGUAUUACACCAAGAAGGUGGCCCGAACCUUGGUAGCUUCUUGUGUUCAUCAAUAGUUCAUCCAUCACCUUCAUCCAUGACUUAGGAUCGCUAGACGUGUUUAGUCCCUAGCCAAACUCUCAAAGGGUUGUUGCUCACAACUCAUAUGCAGAUUCUUAGAAAUCAACAAUAGUGUGUAGACAAAUUACUGUUGGUCAAUUGAUAGAAAAGUGCAUCAUUAUGACGAUAUUCAUGGCAAUGAUCAUGUACAUAGGGAUUACAGCCAUGACAAAUAGACCGACUCCUGCCUGCAUGUACUACUAUUACUCCACCAAUCGAUCGACUCCUGCCUGCUUCUAUGGUAUUAAGUUCAUGACGAACAGAGUAACACUUUAAGAAAGAUGACAUAAUGUAGACAGAAUAAAACCAAGCAAUACAAUUAAACCAUGUCUUUUUACCCUUAUUAACAACAAUACAAAUACGUGCCUUGCUACCCCUUCUGUCAUGAGGUGAGGACACUGCAAGAUUGAACCUACUACAAAGCACCUCUCUCACUGAAGAUAAAUCAAUCUAGUUGGCCAAACCAAACAAGUAGAUCAGAGAGAAAUACAAAGCUAUAAUAAUAAUGCAUAAUAAAGUUCACAAAAGACUCAACUAGUUUCAAUGAAUAUUCUAAUCAUAAACCCACAAUUCAUCGGAUCCCAACUGAAAGUACAUGUAGUCCCCAUGUGUGGUUUUGGUAAUUAAUGACAAUCCUUAUGGACUAAUGUUUGCAUCAAGAUAUACAUCUGAAGGAACUUUCCAUUUGUAAUGCAUGAAGAAUACUGGAUGAAUUGAAGGAUGAAAUCCAUCAACACAAAUAUAUGCAUUGAGACUUGAUAAUGAAUGAAAAAUCCUAUGAAGAAACAAUGGAAUCAAGUUAUAUAUGAAGGCUUGUUCCUUGGGCGAUGCAAGAAGGAGAUUCAAUGGAUUUAUAAUAAAUGCCAUAUACAUAUAGUUGUGCAACAAGAUUGAGCUCAAUGAUUGAAUAAAAUAUGAUCAAGAUGAAUUCCAUGUGAUGAACAAGAUGUGAUCUACAUGGAGUUCACUAAAGGAUCAUGCCUAGGCUUAUGGGGUGAGCCAUGAUGGAUCAUGAUCUUGAUAAAAUGAUUAAAGAGAAGAAUUCUACAUAUGGUUUGAAGAUAGGAUCAUGAUGAGCUCAUAUGUUGAGUCAUGGAUGAUUAUGUCUUGAAGCAAGUAAUGCAUGUGAAGAUUGUGAUGGAGCAUGAAUAAGAACAAAUGAUGACCAACAUGGUAUUCAUGGAUAAACUCUAUAUGGUCAUAUGAUAUUUGAGAUAUGGGUAAUCAUGUUGGGGAAUGCAGUAUUUCAAAAAAUGUACCUACGAUCACGCAAGAUCUAUCUAGGAGAUGCAUAGCGACGAGAGUGGACAGCAUCUUCAUACCCUUGAAGAUCGCAAAGCGGAAGCAUUUAUCAACGCCGUUGAUGUAGUCGUACACCUUCACGAUCUGUCCCGAUCAAGUACCGAACGUAUGGCACCUCCGGGUUGAGCACACGUUUAGCUCGAUGACGUCCUCACCUUCUUGAUCCAGCAAGAUGGGCGAAGUAGUAGAUGAGUUCCGACAGCACGACGGCGUGGUGACGGUGUAGGUGAAGAACAAUCUCCGCAGGGCUUCGCCAAGCACAACGGAAACUAUGACGGAGGAUAAACUAGAGGGGAUGGAGUUGCCGACACACGGCUUGGUGAUUCUUGAUGUGUCUUUGGUGCUAGCCCUGCCCCUCUAUUUAUAUGUUGAGCCUUGGGGUCGAAACUUGGAGUAAAAGCCUCCACAAAGUCGGUUUCACCCGAAAAUCAAGAGUCCUUCUAGGACUCCAGGGCCAGACGCCAGGGUUCCCAGUGUCUGGACCCAGACGCUAGGGACCUUGGUGUCUGGCCCCUGGACUCCACAAAACUUCCUUUUGCGCUUUCCAAAAACCUUGUGGGAUUUCCCCUUUGGCCCAAAUAAAGUGUUCCCGUACCCAAACAUUUCGGGAAACAUCCGGAACCCCUUCCGGUGAACUCCGGAACCCUUUCGGAGACCAAACACUAUUAUCCCAUAUAUCAAUAUUUACUUCCGGACCAUUUUGAAGCUCCUCGUCAUAUCCGUGAUCACAUCCGGGAUUCCGAACAACAUUCAGUUACCAACAUACAUAACUCAUAUAGUACUAUAUUGUCAACGAACGUUUAAGCGUGCGGACCCUACGGGUUCAAGAACUAUGUAGACAUGGCCGAGACACUUCUCCGGUCAAUAACCAAUAGCGGAACUUGGAUGCCCAUAUUGGCUCCUACAUAUUCUACGAAGAUCUUUAUCGGUCGAACCUUAUGACAACAUACGUAAUUCCCUUUGUCCAUCGGUAUGUUACUUGCCCAAGAUUCGAUCGUCGGUAUCCUCAUACCUAGUUCAAUCUCAUCACCAGCAAGUCUCUUUACUCGUCCCGUAAUGCAUCAUCCUAUAACUAACUCAUUAGUCACAUUGCUUGCAAGGCUUAUAGUGAUGUGCAUUACCGAGAGGGCCCAGAGAUACCUCUUCGGUACUCAGAGUGACAAAUCCUAAUCUUGAUCUAUGCCAACCCAACAAACACCUUCAAAGACACUUGUAGAGCAUCUUUAUAAUCACCCAAUUAUGUUGUGACGUGUGAUAGCACACAAGGUGUUCCUCUGGUAUUCAGGAGUUGCAUAAUCUCAUAGUCAGAGGAAUAUGUAUAAGUCAUGAAGAAAGCAACAGCAAUAAAACUUAACAAUCAUUAUGCUAAGCUAAUGGAUGGGUCUUGUCCAUCACAUCAUUCUCUAAUGAUGUGAUCCCGAUCAUCAAAUGACGACACGUGUCUAUGGUUAGGAAACUUAACCAUCUUUGAUUAACGAGCUAGUCAAGUAGAGGCACACUAGGGACACUCUGUUUUGUCUAUGUAUUCACACAUGUACUACGUUUCCGGUUAAUAUAAUUGUAGCAUGAAUAAUAAACAUUUAUCAUGAUAUAAGGAAAUGUAAAUAACAACUUUAUUAUUGCCUCUAGGGCAUAUUUCCUUCAAAUCAUGUCUUGAAGAAAUGAAGCAUAGUGAAGAAUUCAAUAUGGCCUUCAAGACAUCAAGAUUAAGCAUGGAAUAAAGAUAAAGUUUAACCAAGAUAAAGAUCAAAGAAUUGAACUCUAAAUGGUCAACAUGCAAGUGCAAACGAUGCAUCACAUAGGAUCUCAUGGUAUGAUAAGAAAUUGUCAAUUGCACUUUGUGUACUAACCCAUGUUAUGUGUUGUCUAUAUUUAUGAGGGUUGGGUUAUUCUCAUGGGCUCGCAUCGAGAGAAAUAUUCUAAGUGUCCAUGAGAGGAUGACAUCAAGUGUUCAUGAUCAUGGUUUACAAGGGCAAGUUCAAGAUAACCAUUCCAAAGGAUUACAUGCUUGAAGCUUGUGGAUGAUCGCAUGAUGGGCAAGUGAAGAUGAAUACAAGGCAAAGCUUCCCACAUGGUGUAUGGGAGAGCUACUUGAAGACAUAUGCAAUGUCUUGCCUUCAACUUGUGGCAAGAUGAAACAUUAACAUCAAGCUCAAGUGAAAGGCUCGAGUCAAAGGUAUUAGUUCCUUUGGCGUUAGUGUUGUGGAGUGAUGACCACCGAAGAAACAUAUACACUCAAGGAUGGAUUCUCGAUAGCUAUGUAGUGUAGCUCUUUUAUGAUUCUUGAGUUAUAGAGAUCCCGCACUGUUAAGAGGGGGUCAAAGGGGUUCAUGAUGGAUUUGCUCAAGUCAACAUCUUCUAUACACAAUUCCACUCCUAUCAACCACAUAAAUCCAUAGCCAACUAGGUUCCCCAAAGUAUAUGAUCUAACCUUUGCAUACUUUGCACCCUCCAUUUUAUUUUAUCUUGGGUGGUUCUCUAUGUGAGGACCUAGUGUUUUCCCAUAGCUUCAAAACAAGCCCAAGAGCAUCAAAAUCCGAGUCAGUGUGAAAAAGUUAUGCAUGUUGUUACCUUUGGGGCGCCUGCAGUUUUUGUGAUGGCCAGGUGUCCGGGCCUUGGUCGGAUGUUCGGGCUCCCGGGACGCCCCAGAUGUCCGGGAUCCUCCCAGAAAUCCGUCUGUCCAUGUCCAGAAACUUUGCUGAAAUGUUGGUUGUGUCUGCCGGAUGUCCGGCACUAGGCCGGAUGUCUGGGCCCCAACUUUGGCCAAAUGUCUGGGCCCUGUACAUUGGCCCUUUUUUCUGUGUACGUGUGCACAUUUCUCAACCGCCGGAUGUCCGGCCCUUGCCCGGAUAUCCGGCCCGAUACAGCCACUUACUCACAAAUGGCUAGUCUUUUAGGCUUGCUAUAUAUACCCUCUACCAAUCCGGUAGAGGGUUGACAUCUCAAUCCAAAAGAACCAUAGAACACCCAAGUGGCUCCCUCUCACUUAUCCUACAUCAAAUCUUAGAUCCCAGAGAGAUUCGUGAGAGUUCUUGAGAGAUUUUCCAAUCAAGUGAUAGAUCUAAUCCCUCUCCCUCUUGUGACCAAAUAAAUUCGUGAUUUGAGCAAGUCCUGAGCAUUUCCCCCCUUGAUCUUGUAACUCUUGGAGGUUGGAGACUCCUAGGUAGUAUGAGUGCUCCGGUGAGGAAUCAACUUGUGAUUUGCCCCCGGAAAGUUUGUAAAGGUUGGAGGCCGCCUCAAGGUCUACCACUAGUGGUUGAGAAAGGCCUUUGUGGUGUUGUCUCAAAGAGAGAAUAUGGGGAGCCUUCAUGGCAUUGGUGUGCCUUCGUGGUAACAUCAACCUCUCUAAUGGUGACUAGCUUCCCUCCAAGGAAGUGAACAUCGGAAUACAUCCUCGUCUUCGUGUCUUCGGUUAUCUCUAACCCUAGCCACUACUUGUGGUUUACUUUGGUCUCUUGACCUUGCAUUCACUAUAUAUUGUUGUCCUCAUUAUAUUGUGUUGGCUAUUUCCUUGUAGAGAUUAUUUAGACCGACACUUUAUAUCCCGCAAUGCAUACUUGCUACUAUUGAUAUAUCUUGUGUUUAGUGUGACUUACUAACUUGUGUCAUAUACUUGCAGAUCUUGUGAUAUUGCUCAAGUAAGUAUGUUUAACUUACUUGUGCUUAUUAGUAACCUUGUGCUCACCUCAUUUAGAUUAAGCUGUUGGUGCACUUAGUUGAGCCUAGUAUAUAUAGGAUUUGUGCUUAAAAAGUAUCCUCUUAGUUUAUUUCCGCAUUAGGAUAAAACCAAAUCCAUAGAAAUUUUUAAAACGCCUAUUCACCCCCCCCCCUCUAGGCGACAUCGUGGACCCUUCACCAACAAACACACCGCAAAAGAAGAUUUCAUUGGAUAGAACUCCGAGGAGAACAUUGUAUUGAAGAUUAAAGAGAGAGAGAGAAGAAGAAGCCAAUUAGCCAAUCGCUAUGGACCUGUAGGUCUAUGGUGAACAACUCACACAUCAGCGGAGGUGCAAUAAGGUUGAUGUAGAAGACCUUCAUGAUCGAUUCCCCCUCCGGCAGAGUGCCGAAAAAGGUCUCCAGAUGGGAUCACGGAAGAACAGAAGCUUACGGCGCAAAGAAAAUUGUUUCAGGUGUCUCUCAGUUGGUUUUGGGAUUCAUGCGAAAUUAUAGGCCUGGAAUUAGGUCAAAUGGAGUUAUGUGGGGCCCACAAGCUCAGGUGGCACCCCUGGAGCCGCGCCGUGUGAGCUUGUGGCACUCAUGUACAUCUUCUGGCCUCCUCCUGAAGCUUCUAGGGUCCCUUCUAGUCCAGAAAAAAUCACUGUAAAGUUUCGUCUUGUUUGGACUUCGUUUGGUACUGAUUUUUUGUGAAACUAAAAACAAGCAAAAAAAGGACUGGAACUGGGCACUAAGUUAAUAGGUUACUUUCCAAAAAUAAUAUAAAAUUGCAUAUAAAGUAUCUAAGAUUGAUAAUAUAAUAGCAUGAAACAAUUAAAAACUAUAGAUACAUCAGAGACGUAUCAGAUAUCACUUUUGGGUUUUGGUUCAUUGUAUGCAUUAGAGUUGGUAGCGGUGAGUUCCGCAAAAAAAGUUGGUAGCGGUGACUUUUUGUAGUCAACCUUCUUACUCGAGGACGAGCAAGGUUUAAGUGUGGGAGGUUGAUGGCUCUAUGGUUUACGCACUUUUAGAGCUCAUUUGUUGCAUGUUCUCUUCAUAUGUCAUGUCUCAUUGAACCAAAUAGUUGUCCAUUGUGUAUAAUUACCGGUUUUUGCACUUAUCAUUAUGAGCAUUACACAUUUAGUAUAUUAUUUAGUUUUUAUUAGGUUUCUUUGUUUUCUUGUGUCUACAGGUGUUUUGUAGCAACAUAGUACCAAGCACGAUGAAAGGACCAGGGAUGGGUUUGAUACGGAGUCGCCCAAGGGUCAGACUUAGCCAUUUCGAAGACCAUAAAUGGGUCGGCAUCAUUCAUACGAGUCCAGCGAGCCCAAGAAUGUCAAAUUUCAAGUUCGUAUGAAGAAUACGCGACUGUUGAGGGAGUCCUGGACUAAGGGGUCCUCGGGCGUCUGGCCUGUUAUCUAUGGGUCGGACUGAUGGGCUGUGAAGACAUGAAGGCCGAAGACUGCACCGUGUCCGGAUUGGACUCUACUUGGUGUGGAAGGCAAGCUUGGUGACCAAAGAUUCCUUCUUAUGUAACCGACUCCAUGUAAACCCUAGAUCCCCUCGGUGUCUAUAUAAACCGAAGGGAUAGUCCGGAAAGGACACCACAUAUACUCAUUACCAUACCCACAUAGGCUAGACUUCUAGGGUUUAGCCAUUACGAUCUCGUGGUAGAUCCACUCUUGUAACACUCAUAUUCAUUAAUAUCAGUCAAGCAGGACGUAGGGUUUUACCUCCAUAGAGAGGGCCCGAACCUGGGUAAACAUCGUGUCCCCCGUCUCCUGUUACCAUCGAUCCUAGACGCACAGUUCGGGACCCCCUACCCGAGAUCUGCCGGUUUUGACACCGACAUUGGUGCUUUCAUUGAGAGUUCCACUGUGCCGUCGACAAAAGGUUUGAUGGCCCCUUCAAUCGACAAUAAUGAUGCCGUCCAAGGAGGAAUUUUCCUCCCUGGACAGAUCUUCGUAUUCGGCGGCUUCGUACUGCGGGCCAACUCGCUUGGCCCUCUGGAGCAGAUCGACAGCUACGCCCCUGGCCAUCAGGUCGGGUUCGGUAGCGUAAACUACGCCGCGGAUAUACGGGGAGACCUGAUCUUCAAGGGAUUUGAGCCCGUGGCGAUCGCCCCCCUUAUCCCAAUGAACGUGACAUAAAUCUAUCGCCGGAUCACACCCAGGAGAUGGUUCCUGCGGCCGCAACGACCUUAGAGCCGAAGUAGAUCAAGCCAUCCGAGGCCGCAGAGUCCGCGGCGUUGGAGCCGCACAUGGACUCGACGCCCUGAAAUAUUCGCUUUAAUGGAACUUCGGACUCAUCUCUGGCUAUAAGUUCCGGACUGUGUACGCUCGAGCUAGAUCGGUUAUCGAUCUUUGAGUUCAGCGCUGUUGACGUUUUCUAGCACUCGCCUUUGGGUGACAUGCUAAAAUCUUUAAAGAAUUUUUCCUUGGAGAAGGAAUCACAGCCGAACCAUGUCCGGUUCGAGCUAGAGACGGAUGAUGAGGAAUUUUGCUUCGCACCCGCCACCCACUUCAUAGCCACCGUCGAUGACUUAACUGACGUUCUUGACUAUGGCUCCAAAGACAUCGACGGUAUGGACGACGAUGCCGACAAGGAGUAAGGCCAAGACCCACCAUUCACUGGACGCUGGAUGGCUACCUCUUUGUACGACGUGUACAUGGUUGAUACACCUAAAGGAUCUGGCGACAACAAAGAAGAGCCAGAUGUGAAUAAAACCUCCGAGACACAGUCCAAGCGUCGGUGGCCCAAGCGCCGCCCCAAGCACCACCGCUCACAGGACGGCAACACUGGCACCGGAGAAAAUAGUACUCCAGGCGACGCAAAAAACAAUGAAGACCCUGUCAGGGCUACAUCCGAGCAGGAACAUGACAGCAUGCAAGACAACCUCGAAGAACGGACCAUACAAGAUGACCCGGAGGAUGAUAGUUACCACCCACCCUCCGAGGAGGAGAAGCCUUGGCAACGAAGACUUCAUCUUGCCUGAGGAUCCUCUCGAGCAGGAGCACUUCAGCUCAUAGCCACGACAAGGAGCCUGAAAAAGAAACAACAGCAGCUUCAAGAUGAACAAGACCUGCUCGUCGAUAGAUGGACCAACGUCCUGACAACCGAGGAACACGACCUCAACCGCCCAGCCAAGAGCUACCUGAAAUGCAGACUGCUACCUUAAUUCGAUGAGGAGGCACCGGAGCAUAUACCCCCCUCGCGUAGUAUGGACCGACCACCACGUGGUCGAGACAGGACGGCUGAACGGCCACCCCAUAGUCGGGAUAAAGUGGCAACUCAGGCCGAACAACAGAACGCCCAACCACCCCACCAAAAUAGGGACAGAAGAGCUCGGAGUCAUAUGUGCGACCUCCGACAGACUCUGGACAGUAGAGCAGGACACACAAGAUCGAUCUACGGAUCGCGAGGAUGCGCCUUGAAGCACGACAACGGCUACCUAUUCGGACGUGACAAACCUAACCAUGCUCGGGCCGAACACCGCAGACGAACUCCAUCCGAGCUCCGCCAUGAUGCGACCUAAUAUAGAGGCCCCGCACACCCGCUCUGCUUCACAGAUGAAGUACUGGAUCAUGAAUUCCCCGAGGGGUUCAAGCCCAUCAAUAUUGAGUCAUACGACGGCACAACCGAUCCCGCAGUAUGGAUCGAGGAUUUCAUCCUCCACAUCCACAUGGCCCGAGGAGACGACCUCCACGCCAUCAAAUACCUCCCAUUAAAUCUUGGCACUAGUUAAAUAGCCUGCCUAAGAACUCCAUCGGCAGCUGGGAGGGCUUGGAAGACGCUUUCUUCGAUAACUUCCAAGGAACUUAUGUCCGGCCACCAGAUGCCGAUGACCUAAGCCACAUAGUUCAGCAACUGUAACAUCCCAAAUUUUUAAUUUGGAAUGUUAUACAUAGAUCAUCCAUGCAUAUCAUGUUUUAUUGCUUUCCGUUCCGUAAUCCUCGAAAUCCUAAGCAACUCAAGGACCCACGGAGAGAGUUGGGGAUUUUUCUGUUUUCAUAUUUGAUUUUUAUCAAAUAAUGAAACGAGGAUUUUGAUUUUAAUAAUUUUUCUCUCCGAAGUAUUUCAUAUUAAAUCAAAUGAGUGGAGAUAAUAUGACUUCUCCGAAAUAAUUGAAAUAUUGGAGGAAAAAUAUUAAAAUCAUUUAUUGGAUUUUAUUUGGUUUUAUUCGAAUUUUAUUUGCAUUAGAAAAAUUGCACAUUUUCAAAAUUGCACUUUAGGGCCAAGAAAAUGUUCACCUCGUCCUAAAUAUUUUAUUUAGGCGAUGAAAAUUUGUUUUGGCAUUUUUAGAUUUUUAUUUAUUUUUCUAGGAUUUUUCUUCCGUCGGUGGAAUUAUUUAAAAAAAAGUUCCCGCGCCGACUGGGCCUAAGGCCCAGCCACGCCAGACCGCCGUGCCAGGCCGCCGCCGCCUCCUCCUGCGCGCGCGCCGCCGCCGCCGCCGACUCGGACAAGGAGUCCGAGCCGGACUCCUCUCCGCCACCGCGCCUUGCCCCCUCCUCCAAGCCGCCCCGCCCCCGCCCUUUAUAUACCGCCGCCCCAACACCACCACCGCCGCCGCCAAGCCCCGCCUAGCCACAGUCGCCGCCGCCUGCCGCGCCGCUUCGCAGCCGCCUAGCCAGGCAGCCUCGCCGCCNNNNNNNNNNNNNNNNNNNNNNNNNNNNNNNNNNNNNNNNNNNNNNNNNNNNNNNNNNNNNNNNNNNNNNNNNNNNNNNNNNNNNNNNNNNNNNNNNNNNNNNNNNNNNNNNNNNNNNNNNNNNNNNNNNNNNNNNNNNNNNNNNNNNNNNNNNNNNNNNNNNNNNNNNNNNNNNNNNNNNNNNNNNNNNNNNNNNNNNNNNNNNNNNNNNNNNNNNNNNNNNNNNNNNNNNNNNNNNNNNNNNNNNNNNNNNNNNNNNNNNNNNNNNNNNNNNNNNNNNNNNNNNNNNNNNNNNNNNNNNNNNNNNNNNNNNNNNNNNNNNNNNNNNNNNNNNNNNNNNNNNNNNNNNNNNNNNNNNNNNNNNNNNNNNNNNNNNNNNNNNNNNNNNNNNNNNNNNNNNNNNNNNNNNNNNNNNNNNNNNNNNNNNNNNNNNNNNNNNNNNNNNNNNNNNNNNNNNNNNNNNNNNNNNNNNNNNNNNNNNNNNNNNNNNNNNNNNNNNNNNGCCGCCGUGCCCCGCCGCCGGUUUUUCUUUCUAAAACCGUUCGGUUUUUUUUUAAAUCCUAGAUUCGUUUUUUUUUCGGAUCGCCGGUUUUUCUUGGUUCUUCUAGUUAGCGGACGUUCGUCCGAACGUUCGUUUUAACGAAUGGUUCUUCGCCCAUUAGAUAAAACUAACGAACGCUCAUUCGUUAGUCUGUUCAUCAAUUUUCUUUUAUCGGAUUUAAUCCGCGAUUUUCUCUGAUCGCGAUUUCUGAUCCGAUCUUAGUUUUUGUUUAUCUUUUCGCUCGUUAGUCGGAAUCAGGCGAUUCAAGCGCCUAGAGUUUCGUCUCGAAACCCUCUUUCUGUUUAACCAACUCAAACAAGUUUUCCCUACUGUAAAAUUUGACCUAGUUUCAGAUUAGUAAACGAAGCUUCUCUCUUUCGCCGUUUGAGUUUCGUUGCUCCGUAUGAUUUGAUUCUUUUUGCGAACCAGAGUUCUUAAUUUGAACUUUCUGGUCAACCUCUUUUAUUUGUGUUUUUCUUGUGCAUCGUAGCUUGUUACUUAUGUAUGCUAUUGUUUGCUUGCGAUAGAACACCUGGAGUGCGAAGCGUGCUACUACGAGUCCCUAGGUUUCGCAGAUCGUCAGCAAGGCAAGUAACACUUUGAUCAUACCCCUUUAUCACCCAGUUUUUAUGCAUUAGUUCCAAUCCUCAAACAUUGCAUGAUUAGGAUGUCAUUAACUUGCGGGUUGGGAAGUAGUUGAUGAGGUAGAACCUAUUGCCCUGUUACAUUCAAACCCUUGGGAGUUACUCUACGCGUUGCUUAUAUACUAUGCUAUGCUAUGCUCAUAGACAUGGUUUGGGUUUGAGUGAUAUCCAUGACAGAUGUGAGAUUGUUAAAUUAAUGGUUCAACUUAAGGUGGCAACUUAAUCAAACAACUGGGUGGACUGAGGCACCUGGAGUACCCAGUGUUGCCUGUAUUUUUUUGGAAAUCCCGGAGUACCCGUGUGAUCUUCCUAUGGACCGCCACCCAGGCUCAAAGGGAACUGAGAUGAUUCAUGCUAGAAACUUCCGUGUGCAGCCAAAAGCUAUUAUGGGCUCUAGCAUAGUUGAGUAAGUUACGUAAAGCUCUUGAAGAGGCAGAUCAGCAGGUAGUGGGAUGUAGGUUUGGCAUGGUCUGUCCGGAGUAGAGAGUUAAUGUUUCUGAAAGAUGGUGUCUCAGUCAUCCGUUUCUCAAACACCCUGUAGUGCGAGAAAUCCAAUGGAGGAGAUCGAGUCUUGUGGGGAAAAGUGUGCAAACCUCUACAGAGUGUACAAUCUAAUCAUGGUUAGCCGUGUCCGCGGUUAUGGACAAUUCUUGAGUAUCUAGUACUUGGGUUAUCACAUGUAUCUCAUCAUGUUUAAUUAAUGGUGUUCGGUUGUUAAUCAUUUUAAUUGGGAUUGAGUUGGAGGAACCUUCUCAAUGAUGUUUCAACUACCAUGAUAGUUAAAUUAAAAUCUAUUCCUUUGUUGUAGGGAAAAAAUGGCUUUUCGCAAAAACUGUAACCAUAGAGCUUUCCAGCAGCCAUAUAUGCAUAUAGUGAUAGCACUAUUCUGUUUUUGCUCUACUGUGUUACAUUGCCAGCAUAUUCCAUGUGCUAACCCGUUUCGGGCUGCAACGUAUAUGUUGUAGACUUUUCAGACGAGGAGUAAGGUUCGUUUGGUCGUUGUCGUGCAGCUCAGCUAUGCCGUUGUAGUUGAUGGACUCACUUUAUCUUCCAAGCCUUCCGCUGUUAUCGCAUUAGAUGGCCUUAAGCCAUAUUAUUGUAAUAAGUUCUCUUUGGAGACUUUUCGAUGUAAUAAGUGUGUGAUUGCUACUCUGUUAUAAAUCCUCGAGUGUUGUGUGUGUCAGCAUUACCGAUCCAGGGAUGACACUGAAGCACAGAGACUUGACCAUCUGAGGUCGGGUCACUACAAGAUGGUAUCAGAGCACACGUUGAGUGUAGGACACGACCACUAAGAUAAACCCUAGGUCACACUUCUCUUCUUAUUUCUGACUCCUCUCCAUUUUCUACUCUUUAGGAUGACGGAGAUGAAGAACAAGUUUGCACAACCAGAUGAAGACACAACUUUUGGACGCCACUUGAAGGGAGUCACUAGGUACUUUAACAUUGGAAUACCAAGCUUCAUCGGGACGUACAACGCCACUUUACCUGAAGAGGAGCGCUAGAUGAUUCAAGUACAAGUUCCAAGAAGGACAUUCUCGCCAACUUCUAAACCCAUAGAAUUUUCCUUCGACGCCCCAACCUGGAGUUUAGGAAAGAGUAUGGCAGCUCACAUCCCCAUGGGACGCAUUGGAGAAGUUUACAAUAGGGAGCUUAAGGACACUAUUUACCAAAUAUGUGGGCGCCGAGAUGAGCAAUGGGAAGUAAUCAACACCAGGAAGGAUAGAUCCAUUGCAGCUUUCAUCCAGGAGUUAAACCAGCACAUUCGAUGUCAGGAGAACCAGAUGUGUGCGGACAUGAUGGACUUGAAGAAGGCGAAGACUAGGAUCACCGAGCUAGAGGAAGAACUCAAGUUUACACGCGAUGGAUAUGAGGAGGAAAUCAAGACACUACUGGAGAAGAAUGACGACCUAGUCAAGAAGAUCGGGGUAUUCAUGGGAGGACCAGCACCAAUAGCAGCAGAAGAAGAAGAACCCAAGGAAAUACGCCCCGAGGACUACAUCAUCAUCGACGACACCGACUCCGACCCUAGUGAUGAUGACUUUGAAGACGAAGCUGGAGCAGACAUCAUGGAGUCUUCCACCGAUCAAAAUUUCUAGACGACUACCAUAUAUCACUAGUAUUCCCCCAUGUAUAUAGUAGUAGUGAGCACUUUUGCGAUAGUUCUAGACCGUUGUAUGCCCUUGCUUGAUUGAUUGAGUAAAAUGAUUGUGUUUAUCUCAUGUGCAUAUGGGUAGUGCCUUCUCAUUAGACCUCUUUUCUAUUCUAAAUCUCUUCCAUCUAAACCCCUCAGAUGCCUCCGAGACGUGACACCGGUUUUGCCUUCCCACUAGAGCUCACCCAGUUGAUCCAACAGCAGAAUACGUUGAUGCAAUUGCUAGUUCAGAACCAGGGCAACAACAACAACAACAACAACCCACCGCCCGUGGACAACCUAGCCCGUUUUCUAAGGUUACAGCCGCCGGUGUUUUCCAGUAGCACUGAGCCUAUAGUUGCUAAUGAUUGGCUAUGCCGUAUUGGAAGGGAGUUGACCACCGCAGGUUGCACAGAUGCUGAGAGGGUGCGCUUUGCCGCAUAUCAAUUGGAUGGACCAGCAGCCUCAUGGUGGGAGAAUUACACAGCCACUUUUCCUAUAGCCAAUGUCACUUGGGACCAGUUUCAGCAAGCUUUCCGCAUCGCCCAUGUCUCCACUAGAGCUAUGCAAAUGAAGAAGCGGGAGUUUCGCAACCUACGCCAGGGGAAAUAUACUGUACGUGGAUGAGUUUAGCAAGUUAUCUCGCUACGCCCCUGAUGAUGUGGCCACAGAUGCAGCGAAACAGGAGAAGUUUAUGGAAGGGCUGAAUGAUGAGAUGAGUAUGCAGUUGAUGGUAGCAACCUUCAACAACUACCAGGAGUUGGUAGAUAAGGCUCUUAUGAUUGAAGGGAAGCAACAGCAGAUUGAGAGCCGCAAGAGGAAGUAUGGACAAGGGAAGUAUAACUCAGGAGCUCAUCAGAAGCCUCGCCUAACCCCGAACUCGGGAGGACUUGUUCAUAACCAUGGAGGUCACAACCACACUGGAGGAGGAUCGCAUAACCACAAUGGUUCUAAGAAUGGGAAUGGGAACGGAACCAACAAUAAUCAUAACCGCCCCAACCCAGUCACACCCGCCAAAAGGGACUUAAGUCAUGUUACGUGUUUCAAGUGCGGGAAGACUGGACACUACGCCACGGAGUGCCCUGAAGGAAAGAAUGGAAAUGGAAAUGGGAGCGCUGGGAAGAAGCCAAAUCCAUUCAAUAAAGGACAAGUGAACCACGUUAACGCGGAGGAGGUUGAAGAGCAGCCGGAUGCGGUAAUAGGUAAGUUUUUGGUUAAGUCAUUUACCGCUCUUGUUCUUUUCGAUACUGGUGCAUCGCAUUCAUACAUAUCAAGGGGAUUCGUGGAUACGUUUAAACUACCAACCCAAACCCUUAGGACCCCUCUUUUACUAAGUUCACCCGAAGCAGAGUAUAUGGCCAGCCGAUGGUGUGACCAGAUACCCUUAACCAUUGGUACACAUGUUUUUCCGUCCGACCUAAUUAUCUUGGAGUCACAAGGACUGGAUGUGAUAUUGGGUAUGGACUGGAUGUCAAAGUUUGGAGGAAGCAUUGACUGUGCUAGUAAGUCGAUUCAUCUCACCACCCCGGAAGGAAAAAGGAUUAAGUAUGUAUCUAGGCAUGUGCCAAGGAGGAGUCAAGUGAAUGCCCUUACGGGAGUUGUUCAGGAGGAAGUGCCUGUAGUGAAGGAUUACCCGGAUGUUUUUCCAGAGGAGUUACCAAGCAUGCCACUGGAUAGAGACAUUGAGUUUUUGAUAGAGCUGUUGCCAGGUCCAGGACCAAUAUCCAAGAGACCCUAUCGGAUGCCCGCAAAUGAUCUGGAAGAAAUUAAGAAACAAAUCAAGGAGUUAUUGGAGAUCCGAAGAAGUUCAUCACCUUGGGGAGCCCCAAUACUUUUGGUUGAGAAGAAGGAUAAAUCCUUGAGGAUGGUUGUUGAUUAUCGAGCAUUGAAUGAAGUGACGAUUAAGAACAAGUACCCACUGCCGAUGAUCAACGAUCUGUUUGAUCAGUUACAAGGAGCUAAAGUGUUUUCGAAGAUCGACUUGCGAUCUGGGUAUCAUCAGUUGAAGAUACGAGAGAAGGACAUACCAAAGACGGUGUUCACAACGCGAUAUGGAUUAUACGAGUACACGGUCAUGUCGUUUGGACUGACUAACGCCCCUGCCUAUUUUAUGAGCAUGAUGAACAAGGUGUUCAUGGAGUAUUUGGACAAGUUUGUUGUGGUGUUUAUUGAUGAUAUCAUGGUAUACUCGAAGAACGAGGAGGAGCACAAAGAGCAUUUGCGUUUAGUUCUCGAGAAACUCAAGGAACACUAGUUGUAUGCUAAGUUUAGCAAAUGUGAAUUUUGGUUGUAGGAAGUCGGGUUCCUAGGACAUGUUAUAUCGGGAGAAGGUAUAGCAGUAGACCCCAGCAAAAUUUAGUCAGUCAUUGAAUGGUUGGCACCCAUUUCAGUUAGCGAGAUCCAUAGUUUUCUUGGGCUCGCAGGAUACUACCGGAGAUUCAUCGAGAAUUUUUCCAAGAUUGCAAAGCCAAUGACUGAACUGUUGAAGAAGGAUACCAAGUUUAAAUGGACAGAAGAUUGUGAAGCAAGUUUCCAGGAGUUGAAGAAACGUUUGACUACAGCCCCAGUGCUAGUACUGCCAGAUAUACAUAAGGAGUUCCAAGUGUAUUGCGACGCCUCUCGCUUAGGACUUGGAUGUGUGCUUAUGCAGGACGGAAGAGUUGUUUCGUAUGCCUCACGACAACUAAAACCUCAUGAGUUGAAUUAUGCCAUGCGUGAUUUGGAGCUAGCAGCCGUAGUGCAUGCGUUGAAGACUUGGAGACAUUACCUUAUUGGAAACCGUUGUGAUGUGUACACGAAUCACAAGAGUCUGAAGUACAUUUUCACCCAGAGGGAACUGAACCUUCGACAGAGGAGAUGGUUGGAGCUUAUAAAGGAUUAUGACAUCAAGCUACACUAUCAUCCAGGAAAGGCCAAUGUCGUAGCAGACGCAUUGAGUCGGAAGAGUUAUGCUAAUAUCCUUGAAAGUAAGGGAUUGCCGAAGGAAUUAGCAGAUGACAUCAUGGAACUUCGAUUGGAGAUUGUUCCUAGAGGAUUUAUUGCAACAAUGGAGGUCCAGUCAACAUUGCUGGACAAGAUUCGGGAAGCCCAGAAAGAGGACAAGGAGAUUGAUGAGAUAAAGGAGAAGAUGAGCAAAGGAAAGGCCAAAGGUUUUCGUGAAGAUGAGCACGAUACCCUAUGGUUUGAGGACCGAGUUUAUGUGCCCAAUAACCAGGAGAUCAGGAAGUUAAUACUUCAGGAGGCCCAUGACUCACCAUACUCGAUACACCCCGGAAACACCAAGAUGUAUUUGAAUUUGAAGGAAUGUUUCUGGUGGACCGGUAUGAAGAAGGAUAUUGCCGAGUAUGUCACCAUAUGUGAUGUAUGUCAGAGAGUUAAGGCAGAACAUCAGAAGUCAGCAGGACUGUUACAGCCUAUGCCGAUACCCGAAUGGAAGUGGGAUAAACUGGGCAUGGACUUUAUCACCGGAUUGCCCAAGACCAAAGUAGGAUACGAUUCCAUAUGGGUAUUAGUUGAUUGCUUAACCAAAGUAGCUCACUUCAUCCCAGUGAAAACCACCUAUACAAGUGCAAAGUUGGCCAAGAUAUAUAUGUCCAGGAUCGUAUGUCUGCAUGGAGUUCCGAGGACCAUUGUAUCAGAUAGAGGAACAAAGUUUACUUUAAAGUUCUGGCAUCAGUUACAUCAGACUUUGGGAACAAGGUUAGAGUUCAGUACAGCUUUUCACCCGCAAACUGAUGGACAGACUGAGAGAGUGAACCAAAUUUUGGAGGACAUGUUGAGAGCCUGUGCACUAGAUUAUGGAUCUAGUUGGGAUGACAAUUUGCCAUACGCAGAGUUUUCCUACAAUAAUAGCUACCAAGCCAGUUAGAUGGCACCGUUUGAAGCCCAGUAUGGACAAAGAUGCAGAACACCGUUAAUGUGGGACGAGGUAGGAAACCGACAGUUGUUUGGACCAGACGUGAUCAAGGAGUCUGAGGAGAAGGUAAAAUUGAUCCGAGACUGACUGAAGAUUGCUUAGUCCAGGCAGAAGAGUUAUGCAGACUCAAAACGCAAGGAGGUAAUCUACGAAAUUGGAGACAGAGCAUAUCUGCGAGUAUCGCCCUUGCGAGGAGUGAAACGUUUUGGAGUUAAAGGAAAGUUAGCCCCGAGAUUUGUAGGACCAUAUCGCAUUUUAGAACGGAUGGGAGAAGUCGCCUACAAGUUGGAGUUACCUGAGGGAUUGUCAGGAGUUCACGAUGUGUUCCACGUUUCACAACUGAAGAAGUGUCAUGCUGAGAUGGCGGAUAUACCAUUAAGAGAUACAGUACCCUUGGAGGUGAUUCAGUUGGACAGUUAUUUGACUUACGAGGAGAAGCCAGUUAAGAUUCUUGAGUUUGCCAGCAGAGUCACCCGAAGUAAGGUUAUCAAGUUUUGUAAAGUUCAGUAGAGCCACCAUACCGAUGAUGAAGCCACCUGGGAAUGAGAGGAUGAUCUCCGCAAAGACCACCCGCACCUAUUCUCUAGCCAGGCGAAUCUCGAGGGCGAGAUUCAACUUAAGGGGGGUAGGUUUUGUAACAUCCCAAAUUUUUAAUUUGGAAUGUUAUACAUAGAUCAUCCAUGCAUAUCAUGUUUUAUUGCUUUCCAUUCCGUAAUCCUCGAAAUCCUAAGCAACUCAAGGACCCACUGAGAGAGUUGGGGAUUUUUCUGUUUUCAUAUUUGAUUUUUAUCAAAUAAUGAAAGGAGGAUUUUGAUUUUAAUAAUUUUUCUCUCCGAAGUAUUUCACAUUAAAUCAAAUGAGUGGAGAUAAUAUGACUUCUCCGAAAUAAUUGAAAUAUUGGAGGAAAAUAUUAAAAAUCAUUUAUUGGAUUUUAUUUGGUUUUAUUCAGAUUUUAUUUGCAUUAGAAAAAUCGCACAUUUUCAAAAUUGUACUUUAGGGCCAAGAAAAUGUUCACCUCGUCCUAAAUAUUUUAUUUAGGCAGUGAAAAUUUGUUUUGGCAUUUUUAGAUUUUUAUUUAUUUUUCUAGGAUUUUUCUUCCGUCGGCGGAAUUAUUUUAAAAAAAAGUUCCCGCGCCGACUGGGCCUAAGGCCCAGCCGUGCCAGGCCGCCGCCGCCGCCACCUGCGCGCGCGCGCGCCGCCGCCGACGACUCGGACAAGGAGUCCGAGCCGGACUCCUCUCCGUCGCCGCGCCUUGCCCCCUCCUCCAAGCCGCCCCGCCCCUGCCCUUUAUAUACCGCCGCCCCGNNNNNNNNNNNNNNNNNNNNNNNNNNNNNNNNNNNNNNNNNNNNNNNNNNNNNNNNNNNNNNNNNNNNNNNNNNNNNNNNNNNNNNNNNNNNNNNNNNNNNNNNNNNNNNNNNNNNNNNNNNNNNNNNNNNNNNNNNNNNNNNNNNNNNNNNNNNNNNNNNNNNNNNNNNNNNNNNNNNNNNNNNNNNNNNNNNNNNNNNNNNNNNNNNNNNNNNNNNNNNNNNNNNNNNNNNNNNNNNNNNNNNNNNNNNNNNNNNNNNNNNNNNNNNNNNNNNNNNNNNNNNNNNNNNNNNNNNNNNNNNNNNNNNNNNNNNNNNNNNNNNNNNNNNNNNNNNNNNNNNNNNNNNNNNNNNNNNNNNNNNNNNNNNNNNNNNNNNNNNNNNNNNNNNNNNNNNNNNNNNNNNNNNNNNNNNNNNNNNNNNNNNNNNNNNNNNNNNNNNNNNNNNNNNNNNNNNNNNNNNNNNNNNNNNNNNNNNNNNNNNNNNNNNNNNNNNNNNNNNNNNNNNNNNNNNNCGCCUCGCCGGAUCGCCGGUUUUUCUUUUUAAAACCGUUCGGUUUUUUUGAAAACCCUAGAUUCGUUUUUUUUCGAAUCGCUGGUUUUUCUUGGUUCUUCUAGUUAGCGGACGUUCGUCCGAACGUUCGUUUUAACGAAUGGUUCUUCGCGCAUUAGAUACAACUAACGAACGCUCGUUCAUUAGUCUAUUCGUCAGUUUUCUUUUAUCGGAUUUAAUCCGCGAUUUUCUCUAAUCGCGAUUUCUGAUCCGAUCUUAGUUUCUGUUUAUCCUUUUGCUCGUUAGUCGGAAUCAGGCGAUUCAAGCGCCUAGAGUUUCGUCUCGAAACCCUCUUUCCGUUUAACCAACUCAAACAAGUUUUCCCUACUGUAAAAUUUGACCUAGUUUCAGAUUAGUAAACGAAGCUUCUCUCUUUCGCUGUUUGAGUUUCGUUGCUCCGUUUGAUUUGAUUCUUUUUGCGAACCAGAGUUCUUAAUUUGAACUUUCUGGUCAACCUCUUUUAUUUGAGUUUUGCUUGUGCAUCAUAGCUUGUUACUUAUGUAUGCUAUUGUUUGCUUGCGAUAGAACACCCGGAGUGUGAAGCGUGCUACUACGAGUCCCUAGGUUUCGUAGAUCGUCAGCAAGGCAAGUAAAACUUUGAUCAUACCCCUUUAUCACCCAGUUUUUAUGCAUUAGUUCCAAUCCUCAAACAUUGCAUGAUUAGGAUUUCAUUAACUUGCGGGUUGGGAAGUAGUUGAUGAGGUAGAACCUAUUGCCCUGUUACAUUCAAACCCUUGGGAGUUACUCUACGCGUUGCUUAUAUACUAUGCUAUGCUAUGCUCGUAGACGUGGUUUGGGUUUGAGUGAUAUCCAUGACAGAUGUGAGAUUGUUAAAUUAAUGGUUCAACUUAAGGUGGCAACUUAAUCAAACAACUGGGUGGAUUGCGGCACCUGGAGUACCCAAUGUUGCCUGUAUUUUUUUGGAAAUCCCGGAGUACCCGUGUGAUCUUCCUAUGGACCGCCGCCCAGGCUCAAAGGGAACUGAGAUGAUUCAUGCUAGAAACUUCCGUGUGCAGCCACAAGCUAUUAUGGGCUCUAGCAUAGUUGAGUAAGUUACAUGAAGCUCUUGAAGAGGCAGAUCAGCAGGUAGUGGGAUGUAGGUUUGGUAUGGUCUGUCCGGAGUAGAGAGUUAAUGUUUUUGAAAGACUGUGUCUCGGUCAUCCGUUUCUCAAACACCCUGUAGUGCGAGAAAUCCAAUGGAGGAGAUCGAGUCUUGUGGGGAAAAGUGUGCAAACCUCUGCAGAGUGUACAAUCUAAUCAUGGUCAGUCGUGUCCCCGGUUAUGGACAAUUCUUGAGUAUCUAGUACUUGGGUUAUCACAUGUAUCUCAUCAUGUUUAAUUAAUAUUGUUGGGUUGUUAAUCACUUUAAUUGGGAUUGAGUUGGAGGAACCUUCUCAAUUAUGUUUCAACUACCAUGAUAGUUAAAUUAAAAUCUAUUCCUUUGUUGUAGGGAAAAAUUGGCUUUUCUCAAAAACUGUAACCAUAGAGAUUUCCACCAGCCAUAUAUGCAUAUAGUGAUAGCAUUAUUCUGUUUCUGCUCUACUGUGUUACAUUGCCAGCAUAUUCCAUGUGCUGACCCGUUUCGGGCUGCAACGUAUUAUGUUGCAGACUUUUCAGACGAGGAGUAAGGUUCGUUAGGUCGUUGCCGUGCAGCUCAGCUAUGUCGUUGGAGUUGAUGGACUCACUUUAUCUUCCAAGCCUUCCGCUGUUAUCGCAUUAGAUGGCCUUAAGCCAUAUUAUUGUAAUAAGUUCUCUUUGGAGACUUUUCGAUGUAAUAAGUGUGUGAUUGCUACUCUGUUAUAAAUCCUCGAGUGCUGUGUGUGUCAGCAUUACCGAUCCAGGGAUGACACUGAAGCAUAGAGACUUGACCAUCUGAGGUCGGGUCGCUACAGCAACCAGGAGAAUCUGCCAGAAAAUUCUAGACUAGGUUCCUAACCAAAAAGAACCAGAUCAUUGACUGUCCAGAUGCCGAAGCCCUAGCAACCUUCAAACACAGCAUCCGUGAUGAAUGGUUAGCACGCCACCUCGGACAAGAAAAUCCGAAGUCAAUGGCAGCCCUUACGGCACUCAUGACCCGCUUUUGCACGGGCGAGGACAACUGGCUGGCUUGUAGCAAAAAUACAGCCAGCGAGGCAGGCCCCACCGAGGCCAAGAACAGCACCGGCAAGCUCCGGCGCCAUAGACAUAAACGCAGAAGCAAUGGCAACAACACCGAAGACACCACAGUCAACGCCGGAUUCAGUGGCUCCAUGUUCGGCCAACGGAAGAAACCCUACAAAAGAAACAACGAAGGACCUUCCAACCUGGACCGCAUACUCGACCGUCCGUGCCAAAUCCAUGGCACCCCGGAUAAGCAAGCCAAUCAUACCAACAGGGAUUGUUGGGUCUUCAAGCAGGCUAGCAAGUUAAAUGCCGAAAACAAAGAAAAGGGAUCACAAAGUGAGGACGAGGAUGAAGAGCCCCAACAGCAGAACACGGGGGGACAGAAGAAAUCCCCCCCCCAAGUCAAAACGGUGAACAUGAUAUAUGCCACACACAUCCCUAUAAAGGAGCGCAAACGAGCACUCAGGGACGUCUACGCGGUAGAGCCAGUCGCCCCAAAGUUCAAUCUGUGGUCAUCAUUUCCGAUCACCUUCGAUCGACAAGAUCAUCCGACUAGUAUCCGCCACGGCGGUUCGGCCGCACUGGUCCUGGACCCAAUCAUCAAAGGAUUCCACCUAACACGAGUCCUGAUGGAUGGCGGAAGCAGCCUCAACCUGCUGUAUCAGGAUACAGUACGGAAGAUGGGUAUUAAUCCCUCGCGAAGCAAACCAACAAAGACUACCUUUAAAGGAGUCAUACCAGGUGUAGAGGCCCGCUGUACGGGCAUAAUCACGCUGGAGGUGGUCUUCGGUUCUCCGGACAACUUCCGAAGCGAAGAGUUAAUCUUUGAUAUCGCCCCCUUCCGCAGCGGCUACCACGCACUGCUUGGACAAACCGUGUUUGCUAGAUUUAACGCAGUGCCACACUAUGCUUAUCUUAAGCUCAAGAUGCCCGGUCCACACGGCGUCAUAAUAGUCAAUGGCACUACGGAACGCUCCAUCCGAACAAAGGAGCAAACUGUCGCCCUAGCAGCAGAAGUACAGAGCAGUCUUCUCAAGCAUCAUCAUAAUCCAGCUGCCGAGCCCCUGGACACCUUCAAGAGGGUCCGGACUAUACCGCAACAGGACAGCGCGGCCCGUCAAGAGCUCGAUUAGCAAUUCGGUCUUCGUCACAGCCCCAAUGAGGUAGUGGCAUUCGCACCACACGUACACAAUUACGCACUCAAAAUUCCAUGGACAUCAACGGAGGCACGAGAUAACCCGGGGUCUACAAUUCGGCCAGGCCGAUCCCGGACACACAUACUUUUACUCCUUUUCUUGUUUCAGGCACCCUUUUUCCGCGGCCCUGAUGUCAAGUCCUUUAGAAGGACCGAAAUGCAACGGAGGCAAGCAACACAGGUGUGUAGGGUAACCUUUAUACGUUCUUCUUGACGGUAUUCAUACUUAUUUCUCAGGACCCGCACAGUGCGCCCUAUUGAUUCCGGCAUGUUAAACGGCCAGAUACUUCUCGCACCAUAUGUACAAGAUACGCCUUGACGUAUCCAUCCAGUUAUAAUAAAAAUGGUUCGUGGCCCAGUUCCUAUGGUUUUCGCUUCUUACCUCGUUUUAUUUCGAUCUGCCUAUUUGCUGCAUCGACACUCUUACAUUUCAUAUUCGCCAGGGGCUACCUAUCGCCCCACAAUACGGCAGCACAGUCCGAACACUUCUUAUAUAUAAGUUUGGCACCCCGAAUUUAGCAUUAUAUGCAUUGGCUUCGAAUCAUAUCUUUUGUCAAUAGUUGGGUUACCCGGCUCCUGUGCUUGCUACCCUACGUUCCACUCCAUCGGCUAGGGUAGUAAAGGGAGAACUACUGCGAUUGUGCCCUGGCUUUGACCAGACGAGCACCUCAGUAGAGAAAGCCAAAAACUGACUGUCAUGAUGCGGCGAGAGCCGGUCAGCUACCCGAGGGUUACAAAUCGUUGGAGAUUUUUUCCGCGUUACGCGAGAGAUCGGCACUUCCCGAUCAGAUGCUGACAAUACUCUGGCUUAAACCAGGGGCUGCGCCCAUGCUUUAUUAUAAAACUCCUAUGGCUAAGUGAGGGUGUUAAAGCCAUAAAGUCUGAUUGCCUUGUUCGUUGCACUAAACAACUCCUUCAGGACCGUGUAAUUGGAUCAAGAUUGUUUAGAUUCCAUCCCGAACACCUUCAUACUAUCUAUGUGAGGGCAGAAGCCGACGACUGGCCAACCCUCAGAUUACACACAACACGGCCGCACAGGAGGAAACAAUUCAAAGCAUAAUAAAAAUACUUCACAAAAACUGGCUUUGUUCACAUGAUACAAAGGCAACAUGAAUACAUUUAUUCAAAUACAAUGUCCCGCGAGCAUUGCGUCGCCGCAAGUCGAGACCCUUCUACGACAUCCUCGAAAUAUCGCUCGGGUGUGCGGUGCUCCUUGCCCUCCGGCGGCCUGCUGGCAACUUCAACAGCGUUCAUCUUCGCCCACCACAUCUUGCAGCGAGCGAAAGCCAUACGGGCACCUUCAAUACAGACGGAGCGCUUGAUAACGUCCAGCCGAGGACAGGCGUUCACCAUUCGCCUCAUGAGUCCGAAGUAGCUACUAGGCAUAGCUUCGGCUGGCCACAGACGGAUUAUCAAAUCCUUAAUGGCUAGUUCGGCCACCCUAUGCAGCUCCACCAGCCGUUUCAGCUGAUCGGUGAAGGAUACGGGAUGCUCUGGUGCCGCAUACUACAACCAGAAGAGCCUCUCCGAAGAGCCCCCUCCUUCGGCUCAAUAGAACUCCACGGCGUCUGAUACACUGCGGGGCAAAUCCGCAAAAGCACCUGGGGAACUCCGAACCCGGGUUAGUAAAAGGUAUCGCUUCUCCGCAUACUUGCUUUGCAUCUUAAAUGCCUUACCCACCGUGAUCUUCUUGGCCUCCUAGAUCUCCUGGAGGGCGGCCUGGGCCUCAUUCCAUGCGGUCUCCGUGCUCUGACGAGCCUUGGCGAGUUUGGUCCGUCGAACCGACGCAUCAUGCUCUAAGGCCUCGCAUUUUUUCACCGCAUCCUGGAGCUCCUAGUGGACUUCUUUGACCCGGGCAUUUAGCUUCUUACGGCGGCUUGCUGCUGGACAGCCUGCUCCUUGGCCUCGCCCAGGGCCUUCCUCAGGGCCUCGACCUCGGUCACGGCUUCUGCACAUAUCACAAUAACGCUGUCAAUAUACAUCGCUUAUCCUUUCCCGAACAUAUAGCAAGUCGUUCCUCACCUUGCCUCUCCUGGAGCCGAACCUUAACCUCGCCGAGCUCGUUCUCGGUCCACUCCAGCCUCCACUUCAGCUCGGAGACCUCGGCAGCAUGCGAGGUCGCGGCCAACAGGCCUGCUUAUUAAUACAUAUUCAGUCAGCCUCUUAUAAUUAAGGAUUGAUCCCCUGUCCGGUCCUCCUCACCGAACACCGGACAACAUCCUAGGGGCUAUGGACUAUACGGGGUUUUUCUCUUUCUUACCUCAAAACCUGUUAACAGGAUGCUGCAGGCUUCAUUCAGUCCGCUCUUGGCGGACUAAACCUUCUCAAUCACCGCACCCAUAAGGAUACGGUGCUCGUCGACGACGGAGGCGCUUCAUAGCGCCCCCAUCAGCUCAUCUGGCGCUCCUGGAUGGACAGGAGCCAUCGGUGGAGGCAACGCACCCCCCCCCCCUCCUUCAAAGGGGGCUGCUCGCCCGACUCCGGAGCCAUAUUGGUCUCCGGAAUCGUAUUCGGCUGAGGGCCGAACUGGAUACGGCCCUCUUUGCCAGUCUUCAUGGGGAUUGACUCCCCCGUGUGUUCGGCAGUGGAGGUCCCCCCUUGAGGCGCCUCCUGGACAACGUCCUGGGCUCCUCCCCUUGGAGCGGUCCUCUAGGAUAACACUUCGGUGUCUUCCCUGGCCCUAGGGGAGUAAGCAGGCGGUGGCGACAUGCUCGCCAUCUUCGAUGGAGCCAAUGAACCUCCAGAUGAGGAUCGCUGGAUAAGGUCACAGGGCGGACUGCAAUAGCGUGGAUCAACCAUGUUAGAAUAAUAAAAGGAAAGGGUUGGUAUGCGCAUGAAUAAGCCAAUGUCACUUACGAUGCGGCCUGGGGCCUAGUAUGGGGGUGACGUUCCGGACUACUGUCAGCGUACCAUGCGGUGUUGACCGCUGGGGCACCCUUCCCCUUUUUGGGCGCUUUCACCUCCAGAUGUGCCAAGGUCACCCUCUUCUUCCUCCUCUCUUCGGGAGGAGGGUUGUUUCCCUCCUCCUCCUCCUCCUCUUGCUCAUAAUUUUCCUCAGGGACAGAGGAAUAGGCCUCGUCGUCUUCGGACAUUGCGUCCGAAGUGCCCUUGCAACGGGGACCACUCUUGGCCCCUUGGCCUUCUCCUUGGCCUUCUUCUCCCGCGUCGUAUAUGGCGUCGGCACCAGCAUCUUCGCCAGGCGCGGGAUGACUGGUUCUUCGGGCAACGGAGCCGGACACUCGAUCCGCUUCACCCUCUCUACCCAGUCCUGAGGAAGCAAUACUAAAAUCUCAGACAUCAUCCUCGAAACAUUUAAGUUGGGAGUACAUCAAAAGUAACAUACCUCGUUGGCGGGGCGGUUACAAUUGUGACCACGGUCUGAGUCCGUGGUCGGUGGCUUCUCGUUGCCCUUAAAGAGCAACUUCUAGGCCCUUCGUGAGAAGUAUUGAAGAGCCUUUUCAGGGUCUGGUGCUUCUUCGAAUUGAAUUCCCAUAAAGAGCGGCUGCGGCGCUGGCACGGAAGAAUCCGGCGGAUUAGCAUCACCUGGAUAACAUCAAUGAGCUUGAUGUCCUUAGUCACCAUGCUUUGAACGUGCGUCUGCAGCGCUAUCAGCUCGUUAGGUGCACACCAGUCCAGACUCUUCUCGACCCAGGAGGUGAGUCGCAUGGGAGCGCUGGAGCGGAAUUCAGCAGCUGCGCCCCAGGUGGUGCCGCGAGGUUCUGUAAUAUAGAACCACUGCUUCUGCCAUUCCUUUACUGUCUUCACAAAGGUGCCUUUGGGCCAUGAGACAUUGGAUAGCUUGCUCUCCAUGGCCCCUCCGCACUCCGCGUGUUGUCCCUCCACCACCUUCGGCUUCACGUUGAAGAUUUUGAGCCAUAUCCCGAAGUGGGGAUGGAUGCGGAGGAAGGCCUCGCACACGACGAUAAACGCCAAGAUGUUGAGGAAAGAAUUCGGAGAUAGAUCAUGGAAAUCUACCCCGUAGUAGUACAUCAGCCCGCGAACGAAAGGGUAGAGUGGAAACCCUAGCCCGCGGAAGAAAUGGGGGAUGAAUACUACCCUCUCUGUGGGCUCCGGUGUGGGGACGACUUGUCCCUCGGCUGGCUGGCGAUGGGCGAUCUCUUUCGCCAAAUAUCCGGCCGCCCGGAGCUUAGUAAUGUCCUCCUCCUUGACGGAGGAGACCAUCCACUUGCCCUGACCACCAGAUCCGAACAUGGUUGCUUGAGUGGAAAGGAGAUGAGAGCUUGGGCGUUGGAGCUUGAGAUCGAAAAUGCGGAGACAGAGAGAGACAGCGUGAGGAGAGGAAGAGGGAAUCCUUAUCCCCUUAUAAAGGCAACAAAUAUUAAACGCCUCCUCACUCGCUUUAGGAUUCGCAUGUUCCCUAGGGCUGUAUAAAUGGCACGAUUGAGUUACCCAUGCCCGCAUUGAUGAGAAUCCCGCAAUAAGGGGACACGAUCUUUGUUUUGACAAGACAUGCCCGUAGCAACCACACCUCAUAGCGUGGAUUGGCUGAAGAAAAACGGUUCGAAAUUAUAACCGGACAGACGCGAUGUCGUGUUGAGAAAAAGCUGUCAACAGAUUAGAUUCGUGCAAAUAUUAUAUUCUCUCUGUGGUUGUGUGUGUGACAGGUCCGGAUACUAUCAUUACAUCCGAGGACUAUCUUGGAGUUCGGAGAAAGGGGAACCCGCCUUGCAAUUCCGAAGACAAUCUGCAUGCCGGACUCCUCGUCAUUGAAGCUAGGUUCAGGGGCUACUGAGGGAGUCCUGGACUAAGGGGUCCUCGGGCAUCCGGCCUGUUAUCUAUGGGUCGGACUGAUGGGCUGUGAAGACAUGAAGGCCGAAGACUGCACCGUGUCCGGAUUGGACUCUACUUGGCGUGGAAGGCAACCUUGGCGACCGAAGAUUCCUUCUUAUGUAACCGACUCCAUGUAAACCCUAGAUCCGGCCACUUGGUGUCUAUAUAAACCGAAGGGAUAGUCCGAAAAGGACACCACAUAUACUCAUUACCAUACCCACAUAGGCUAGACUUCUAGGGUUUAGCCAUUACGAUCUCGUGGUAGAUCCACUCUUGUAACACUCAUAUUCAUCAAUAUCAAUCAAGCAGGACGUAGGGUUUUACCUCCAUAGAGAGGGCCCGAACCUGGGUAAACAUCGUGUCCCCGUCUCCUGUUACCAUCGAUCCUAGACGCAUAGUUCGGGACCCCCCUACCCGAGAUCCGUCGGUUUUGACACCGACAACUGUUUUAUCGGAGAAGGUUAGACCAAAAAAUAGCCUUUCAUGCAACCGCGCGCAGGCGUUUUGGCAGUCGUUUAACGUGCAGACAGCUCCAAAAGUUUCCCUUCCAGACAUGAUUCUUCACCAAUUUCAUCCCCGUUCGAUCCCACGAGAUCCUUGGCUCGUAAAGAAUAGAUUGGGAGUGAAUUUGGCUCAUCUAGAGCCCUUGGAUGAAGCUCAUCAAGAGAGGAGACAAGGGAGGCUCCUAUAUAUGUCAUCCUCAACCCUAGCCGCCGCCUCCAUCCUCACACCAUCUCAUUCAUCCACAACCAUCAGCAUUGCUGCUUCACACCAGAGAAGGAGGAACAACGCGAAGGGAAGAAGGAGGAGGCUCCACCACCAUGAGCACCGCCCUUCAGGCUGGUGAUCUCGCGCCAGUGCCGCCACCAUCGGUGGCACCCCCAUCUCCAUCACCACCGCUGCGGCCACCACCACCAUCAUCAUCAUCACCACCGCCCCGCCGCCACCACCACCAUGUCUCCUUCCUUCAUCGGCUUGAUGUCGGCUUGUAACUUGUCCCUAACCUUUAUGUCUUUGACUGGGUAGUUGUACUAGUUCUUGAGGAUAUGGUUGAACCCUUUAGAUAUCUGUUGCGGUCCAAUAUUAAUUGUUCAUGAUUCGGGUUAGUAACCCUCGUGAAUGUUGGGAGGAGCACUCACUCAAAUUUGUUCCUUGUGCCGUGAAGUAUAUUACUAUCGUUGUGAAGGGUUAGGGUGUUGGGGUAAUUCGAGGUGACAGUAAAAGCCUCGAUUCCUCGCCAUUGAAAUUAAUAGGAGAAUUAUGGAGAACCAUUAGAGAGGCCUUGUCCAUGGGGCAACGCUUAAUUAUCAUGAGUUGUAACCCUAUGGGGGAGGCUAUGAUGGUGGCGUGCAUGGCAUAAAGUCUACCUCGCGUAGAACGUGUACUGUACCCGGCUCCACCCACUUAUACAUUUGGCCAGUUACUAGAGGAUACAAUAGUUUAUAUAUGGUAGUGAUUCUGGAACCCUCGAGAACGUCUUACUACUCAAGCAUCAUCCUUACUAACUUAGUGUCAUUUAAUUCCUGUUUUUACCUUCUUGUAAGUAGUUUAGUUAAUUAUCCCUUUUAUCUUGUUUUCCUAGCAACUUAUCGAGUAGACUGUUUUCAAACUCCGGUUUGGAUGCGUACGUGGCUGCGUGAAAGUGACAACGUAGUUGCGGGGUUUGUGGUGCCUCCCUAUUCGCUCCCUGUCUGUGGGUUCGACACUUUAUUUAUCACACGAAAGUGCUACAACAACCAUGUGCACUUGCAGGUCAUCAGCUCGCCUGGUUGACACAUACCGACGAACAUAGGGCGGGCACCGAGCUGCUCCACGCCCGAUGUCCGCGGUCGGACAAAUCAUGGUGAUGCAGACUCGGAGAAAAGGAGUUGUGUCACAUUGAUGUCGAUGCAAUAAGGCAUGUUCCUGGCGGCGGAUGCCGGGGACUGCUUGCUAAGCUGUUGGGCAGCGUAGAAGUAGGGAGGCUUUGUAUUGAUCUUGCCAGGACCGUGUUUGCACGGACAACGAUGGUGGCGUCACCCCCUCCCCGUCCCAGGUCCCGCCCUGCACAACACCCACUGUCCGCACCACGUUCGCAUCCUACACGUCCGCCGCCACUACCGCCUCCCUUCUUUUUUAGUGGUGCCAUCUCCUUUGCCUUCAUUCUGACGCGACAGUCUUGUCGUGUCGCCGAGUUGAUCUUUCGGGCGUCGGCCUUCAUUAGCUUUUCAUACGGGUCCGUGCGGGGGCGGCGGUAAAAAGGGGCGGGAAUUGGGAUGGUAGAGUAGAGUGUUGAGAAAUAGGGUUUUGCCGCAAAAAAAAAGAGUACAACUAGCUCCAAAGGCGUGGGUGCUGCCUUAGUUUCGGAUGGGCCGGGAGUGUCGAUGUCCCACAUGGCUGGACUCUGCAAAGCCUCCUAGUUUGCUUCUGAUUUCCGAGAUGACUUGUGGACAAAUACAGGACAUCGUUGAAUGGUUUGCGGCGUCCGGACAGCUCGAUCUGGACGCUUGCGGGAGGUUUGGGGGUCGGUGUUGAAGCCAUUAUACUCUUUCCAGAGUUUAUAAGGUAAAUUGUUUUGUAACGGGUCACAAUACCCCGUAGAAAAAUUUCUGAAGAAAUGUCUAUCAAUUAAACAGUCAACGUAUCAUAACAAAAAAGAAAUCCAUACAUAAUCCCAAUGGAAAUUCUUCGGUCAUAUUAUACAGUAAUUUGUCAGUUUCUUGCCCACUGGUCGACCUCAGACCCAAUUUCUUUAGUCCAACAGAGUUCGACCCCGCUCCGGUGGCAGCAUCUUUGUUUGUCAAUAGCAAGGGGUGCAGUGAUCAUUCUUGUCAGAGACCAAAACCCCACUGCAAAAUGGCAUAACCACUAGUUUAAUCCCGGAGCAGAAAGGGCCUGUAAAAGCUGGUAGCACGCUUAACCGCCAAAAAAAGCGGCACAACGGCCGUAUCUUACACUGGAAGCAAAGGGGGUCGUCAGUGAGAACGAAAAUUGGAUCCUGGCAAAACGAAACCAAUGCCAUUUUCAGGUUUUGGGCAGUCAGACAUCCUUCUCUUCUUCUCUUCAUUUUACACGCGAUUUUAGGCAGCCGUUUUGUUAGCCGCCAAAGUUCCUUACCUCAUGCCUUGCCCACAUGGACAUACUCCCUCCAUUCCACAAUGUAGUGCUUCCUCUAUCUCCGUGUUUUAACUUUGACCGUAAAUUUAACUAUCAAGACCGAUUGCGGCAGGAGCAAAAAUUAUAUGAGUGAAUUCGUAUUCGAAAGAAGUUUUCAAUUAUAUAAUUUUUUGUUCCGACGCAGUUGGUCUCGUUGGUUAAAUUUAUGGUUAAAAUUGGACCUCGAAAAGCGCAGGCGCACUAUAUUUUGAAACCGAGGGAGUAGUUCCGCCAACCGUUUAGUUAGGCGACUCAAACCUUUUUCCCAGUCAGAUACACAAUUUUGGCAGCAAUUCUGUUCCAUUCUACACAAUUUUGGCACCCGUUUAGCUAGCCGCCAUAUUUUCUGAGAUCAUGUCUAUCUCAGAUCGUCCAGGCUCGGGUAAAUUAACAAGCACACCAUGGGAUGCAUCAAAAGAUAAUCUAGGCUCGGCUAAAUUAACAAGCACACCAUGGGAUACAUCAAGAGAUAGCAGUAUAGGAUAGUAUAGAUACUCCCUCCAUUUCUUUUUACUCCGCAUAUAAGAUUUAGACAAAGUCAAACUGCACAAACUUUGAUCAAAUUUAUAUAAAAAAAUAUAAACACCUACAAUACUAAAACUAUAUAGUAUGAAAAUACGUUUCAUGGUGCAUCUGAUAAUAUUGAUUUCAUAUUGUGAAUGUUUAUACUUUUUAAUAUAAAGUUAGUCAAACUCUAUAAAGCUUGACUUUGACUAAAUUUUAUAUGCGGACUAAGAAAACAGAGGGAGUAGAUUUAUAGUGUCAUAGUACAAAAUUUGUAAGAGCAGAGAGUAACAGUUAGGAGAACAUUCUCCAAGAAGCCCGACUAAAUAUCUUAAUAAUAAUAAUCGAAUAACAGUAAGCAGCUGUGACACAAGAGGAAUUCAGUAGGACAAAUCUCUUGAUGUAGAAACUUAUCUCUGACCCUUUUACCGAACUAAAAGUAUCAUUCUAUACAUCCCGCAUCACAACUUUUCCAUGGAUUUCUCAGUCUCAGCUUAACCUGUCUCUCUCAACCAGUUUAUUAUUCACAACCCAAUUAGCCAUCAAUCCAAGCCCAAUUUGUUCCCAACUUUCAAAUUUCCCUAUCACCAUGCUCCAAUCCUUUUCGCCAUCGCCACCGCGCAAACGGAUGAUCGAAGACGACGAUGCGGAAAACAGACACCAACCAAUGCAAAAAAACAAGAAAAGGAUAUAUGCACCACGUUCUUCUUUACGCCGGUAGCUAUCAAUCAAGAACUGGUAAUCCACGAACAACAAUGACCACGUACUUUUGUGACGGCGAGCUCCGCUGGCUCUUCCACACCGGCGGCGAGGGGUGCGGCAAGGGAAAGUGAAACCGGCAAUGCUUCUGUUGUCAAAG